Molecule: long non-coding RNA, 85591 nt
Filed under: Triticum aestivum (bread wheat)
Lineage: Eukaryota; Viridiplantae; Streptophyta; Magnoliopsida; Poales; Poaceae
Description: long non-coding RNA (TAES_LNC028373)
Source: RNAcentral
ACAACAACAACAGCAAGGCAUGCGUAUCUUUUUUCCACUAUCUCGACAACAACAUGUGGGUCAAGGUACUCUCGUCCAAGGCCAGGGCAUCAUCCAACCUCAACAACCAGCUCAAUUGGAGGCGAUCAGGUCAUUGGUGUUGCAAACUCUUCCAACCAUCUGCAAUGUGUAUGUCCCACCUGAGUGCUCCAACAUCAGGGCACCAUUUGCCAGCAUAGUCGCGGGGAUUGGUGGCCAAUGAAAAAAGCAAGAGCUAUACUAAUAGAUAGAUGGAUCCUCGUUGCUUAGCAGAUGCACCAAUCGAUGUAACGAUGACAAAUAAAGUGGCACGUACCAUCAUGUGUGACCCCGACCAGUGCUAGUUCAAGCUUGGGAAUAAAAGACAAACAAAGUUCUUGUUUGCCAGCAUUGAUUGUCAUUGUUCCAUUCACUGUGUAUUUAGUUGUUCAUCCCUAACCGCAGUUCUAGGCUUACACAUCAAUGGCUAUUUGCUCGUGCCGGCAGGUUCCUAUGUAAUCUACCGACUAAUGGUCGGCCUAUUGACCCAGUUUAUAGGCCGAUUGAUAUAUUAAUUGCUGCUCCCAAACUGACCGACCAGCUAUUAGUUACCAUUUUGCUGAACAUUGCACACAAUAAUAACUCAACAUAUUUUAAUGUCUAGAAGUAAAAGGGCCAUUUUAGCAGCAAAACAAGCGCCUGAUUAGGAACCAUCCAGCACUUUAAAUGUUCACCUAGAUAUUUCUACGUUGAUGCAAUUUUGAGAUUGGUGGCACCGAAACAUUCCUCAAAGCAAUUCUUUAUGGGACUCCAAAGAGGUGAAAAUAAAGUAAAGUUGCCACAUGGUAAAAUAUAAAUCAUGCGGCGAGCAAGAGCAAAUAUUGAGUCAUGAUAGCAAGCGCCAAACAUGCCAUUAAACUCUUCAUAUGGUUCCGUGCAGAGAAGGGGGAAAAUUGUUGGGGAACGUAGUCAUUUCAAAAAAAAUCCUACGCACACGCAAGAUCAUGGUGAUGCAUAGCAAUGAGAGGGGAGAGCAUCGUCCACCUACCCUCGUAGACCGUAAGCGGAAGCGUUAUGACAACGCGGUUGAUGUAGUCGUACAUCUAUAUGAUCGACCGAUCCUAGUACCGAACGUACGGCACCUCCGCAAUCUGCACACGUUCAGCUCGGUGACGUCCCAUGAACUCACGAUCGAGUAGAUCUUCAAGGGAGAGUUCCGUCAGCACGACGGCGUGAUGACGGUGUUGAUGAAGCUACCGACGCAGGGCUUCGCUUAUGCACUACUAUGAUAUGACCGAGGUGGAUUAUGGUGGAGGGGGCACCGCACACGGCUAAAGAUCAAUGAUCAACUUGUGUGUCUUGGGGUGCCCCCUGCCCCCGUAUAUAAAGGAGAAAGGGGGGAGGCGGCCGGCCAAGGAGGAGGGCGCGCCAAGGGGGGAGUCCUACUUAGGACUCCUCUUUCCUAUUAGGAGUAGGAGAAGGGGGAAAGGAAGGAGAGGAGGAGAAGGAAGGACGGGGCACCGCCCCUUCCCCUAGUCCAAUUCAGACUAGGCUUGGGGGGGGGGGCGGCCCAGCCCUAGCCAGCCCCUCUCUCUCCCUCUCUCUCCCUGAAGCCCAUUAACGCCCAUAAGAUCCCCGGGGGGUUCCGGUAACCUCUCGGUACUGUGGUAUUUAUCCGGUGUCCGAAUAUAACCUUCCAAUAUAUCAAUCUUUAUGUCUCGACCAUUUUAAGACUCCUCGUCAUGUCCGUGAUCAUAUCUGGGACUCCGAACUACCUUCGGUACAUCAAAACACAUAAACUCAUAAUACCGAUCGUCACCGAACGUUAAGCGUGCGGACCCUAUGGGUCCGAGAACUAUGUAGACAUGACCGAGACACGUCUCCGGGUUUAACCAAUAGCGGAACCUGGAUGCUCAUAUUGGCUCCUACAUAUGUUGGGGAACGUUGCAUAAAAUAAACUUUUUCCUAUGUUCACCAAGAUCAAUCUAUGAGUUCAUCUAGCAACGAGAGAGGGGAGUGCAUCUACAUACCCUUGUAGAUCACGAGCGGAAGCGUUCAAGAGAACGGGGUUGAGGGAGUCGUACUCGUCGUGAUCCAAAUCACCGGAGAUCCUAGCGCCGAACGAAUGGCACCUCCGCGUUCAACACACGUACGGUUAGCGUGACGUCUCCUCCUUCUUGAUCCAGCAAGGGGGAAGGAGAGGUUGAUGAAGAUCCAGCAGCACGACGACGCGGUGGAGGAUGCAGCAGAGUUCCGGCAGGGCUUCGCCAAGCGACUACGGGAGGAGGAGGUGUAGCAAGGGGGGAGGGAGGCGCCAAGACUUCAGGGUGCAGCUGCCCUCCCCUCCCCCUCCUUUAUAUAGGCCCCCUGGAGGGUGGCGCCGGCCCUGGAGAUGGGAUCUCCCAAGGGGGCGGCGGCUAGGGGGGUGGAGUGCCCCCCAAGGCAAGUGGAGGCGCCCCCCCCCCCCACCCUAGGGUUUCCAACCCUAGGCGCAGGGGGGCCCAAGGGGGUCGCACCAGCCCACCAGGGGCUGGUCCCCUCCCCACUUCAGCCCACGGGGCCCUCCGGGAUAGGUGGCCCCACCCGGUGGACCCCCGGGACCCUUCCGGUGGUCCCGGUACAAUACCGGUGACCCCCGAAACUCUCCCGAUCACCGAAACUGCACUUCCUAUAUAUAAUUCUUUAUCUUCGGACCAUUCCGGAACUCCUCGUGACGUCCGGGAUCUCAUCCGGGACUCCGAACAACUUUCGGUUUGCUGCAUACUCAUAUCUCUACAACCCUAGUGUCACCGAACCUUAAGUGUGUAGACCCUACGGGUUCGGGAGACACAUAGACAUGACCUAGAUGGCUCUCCGGUCAAUAACCAACAGCGGGAUCUGGAUACCCAUGUUGGCUCCCACAUGCUCCUCGAUGAUCUCAUCGGAUGAACCAUGAUGUUGAGGAUUCAAGCAACCCCGUAUUCAAUUCCCUUUGUCAAUCGGUAUUUUACUUGCCUGAGAUUCGAUCAUCGGUAUCCCAAUACCUCGUUCAAUCUCGUUACCGGCAAGUCACUUUACUCGUACCGUAAUGCAUGAUCCUGUGACCAGACACUUGGUCACUUUGAGCUCAUUAUGAUGAUGCACUACCGAGUGGGCCCAGAGAUACCUCUCCGUCAUACGGAGUGACAAAUCCCAGUCUCGAUCCGUGUCAACCCAACAGACACUUUCAGAGAUACCUGUAGUGCACCUUUAUAGUCACCCAGUUACGUUGUGACGUUUGGUACACCCAAAGCACUCCUACGGUAUCCGGGAGUUACACGAUCUCAUGGUCUAAGGAGAAGAUACUUGACAUUGGAAAAGCUCUAGCAAACGAACUACACGAUCUUGUGCUAUGCUUAUGAUUGGGUCUUGUCCAUCACAUCAUUCUCCUAAUGAUGUGAUCCCGUUAUCAAUGACAUCUAAUGUCCAUAGUCAGGAAACCAUGACUAUCUAUUGAUCAACGAGCUAGUCAACUAGAUGCUCACUAGGGACAUAUUAUGGUCUAUGUAUUCACACGUGUAUUACGAUUUCCGGAUAAUACAAUUAUAGCAUGAAUAAAGACAAUUAUCAUGAACAAGGAAAUAUAAUAAUGAUCCUUUUAUUAUUGCCUCUAGGGCAUAUUUCCAAAAGUCUCCCACUUGCACUAGAGUCAAUAAUCUACUUACAUUGUGAUGAAUCGAACACCCAUAGAGUUCUGGUGUUCAUCAUGUUUUGCUUGCGGAAGAGGUUUAGUCAACGGAUCUGCGACAUUCAGAUCCAUAUGUACUUUGCAAAUAUCUAUGUCUCCAUCUUGAACAGUUUCACGGAUGGAGUUGAAACGAUGCUUGACGUGCCUGGUCUUCUUGUGAAACCUGGGCUCCUUGGCAAGGGCAAUAGCUCCAGUGUUGUCACAGAAGAGAGUGAUUGGCCCCGACGCAUUGGGUAUGACUCCUAGGUCGGUGAUGAACUCCUUCAUCCAUAUUGAUUCAUGCGCUGCCUCCGAGGCUGCCAUGUACUCCGCUUCACAUGUAGAUCCCGCCACGACGCUCUGCUUGCAACUGCACCAGCUUACUGCUCCACGAUUCACCAUAUACACGUAUCCGGUUUGUGACUUAGAGUCAUCCACAUCUGUGUCGAAGCUAGCAUCGACGUAACCCUUUAUGACGAGCUCUUCGUCACCUCCAUAAACAAGAAACAUGUCCUUUAUCCUUUUCAGGUACUUCAGGAUAUUCUUGACCGCUAUCCAGUGUUCCUUGCCGGGAUUACUUUGGUACCUUCCUACCAAACUUACGGCAAGGUUUACAUCAGGUCUGGUGCACAGCAUGGCAUACAUAAUAGAUCCUAUGGCUGAGGCAUAGGGGAUGACACUCAUCUCUUCUUUAUCUUCUGCCGUGGUCGGGCAUUGAGCCGAGCUCAACUUCACACCUUGCAAUACAGGCAAGAACCCUUUCUUGGACUGAUCCAUUUUGAACUUCUUCAAUAUCUUAUCAAGGUAUGUGCUUUGUGAAAGACCUAUGAGGCGUCUCGAUCUACCCCUAUAGAUCUUGAUGCCUAAUAUGUAAGCAGCUUCUCCAAGGUCCUUCUUUGAAAAACACUUAUUCAAGUAGGCCUUAAUGCUGUCCAAAAGUUCUAUAUCAUUUCCCAUCAAAAGUAUGUCAUCUACAUAUAAUAUGAGAAAUGCUACAAAGCUCCCACUCACUUCCUUGUAAACGCAGGCUUCUCCAUAAGUCUGCAUAAACCCAAACGCUUUGAUCAUCUCAUCAAAGCGAAUGUUCCAACUCCGAGAUGCUUGCACCAGCCCAUAAAUGGAUCGCUGGAGCUUUCAUACCUUGUUAGCAUUCUUAGGAUCGACAAAACCCUCCGGCUGCAUCAUAUACAGUUCUUCCUUAAGAUGUCCGUUAAGGAAUGCCGUUUUGACGUCCAUCUUCCAUAUCUCAUAAUCAUAGUAUGCGGCAAUUGCUAACAUGAUUCGGACGGACUUCAGCUUCGCUACGGGAGAGAAAGUCUCAUCAUAGUCAACCCCUUGAACUUGUCGAUAACCCUUAGCGACAAGUCAAGCUUUAUAGAUGGUAACAUUACCAUCCGCGUCUGUCUUCUUCUUAAAGAUCCAUUUGUUUUCUAUCGCUCACCGAUCAUCGGGCAAGUCUGUCAAAGUCCAUACUUUGUUUUCAUCCAUGGAUUCUAUCUCCGAUUGCAUGGCUUCAAGCCAUUUGUUGGAAUCUGGGCCUGCCAUCGCUUCUUCAUAGUUCGAAGGUUCACCGUUGUCUAACAACAUGAUUUCCAGGACAGGGUUGCCAUACCACUUUGGUGUGGAACAUGUCCUUGUGGACCUAUGAAGUUCAGUAGCAACUUGAUCCGAAGUACUUUGAUCAUCAUCAUUAAUUUCCUCUCCAGUCGGUGUAGGCACCACAGCAACAUUUUCCUGAGCUGCACUACUUUCCGGUUCAAGAGGUAGUACUUCAUCGAGUUCUACUUUCCUCCCACUUACUCCUUUCGAGAGAAACUCUUUUUCCAGAAAGGAUCCGUUCUUGGCAACAAAGAUCUUGCCCUCGGAUCUUAAGUAGAAGGUAUACCCAAUGGUUUCCUUAGGGUAUCCUAUGAAGACGCAUUUUUCCGACUUGGGUUCGAGCUUUUCAGGUUGAAGUUUCUUGACAUAAGCAUCGCAUCCCCAAACUUUUAGAAACGACAGCUUAGGUUUCUUCCCAAACCAUAAUUCAUACGGUGUCGUCUCAACGGAUUAAGACGGAGCCCUGUUUAAAGUGAAUGUAGCUGUCUCUAGAGCGUAUCCCCAAAAUGAUAACAGUAAAUCGGUAAGAGACAUCAUAGAUCGCACCAUAUCCAAUAGAGUGCGAUUACGAUGUUCGGACACACCGUUACGCUGAGGUGUUCCAGGCGGCGUGAGUUGUGGAAUGAUUCCACAUUUCCUUAAGUGCGUACCAAAUUCGUGACUUAAAUAUUCUCCUCCACGAUCUGAUCGUAGGAACUUUAUCUUUCGGUCACGUUGAUUCUCUACCUCAUUCUGAAAUUCCUUAAACUUUUCAAAGGUCUCAGACUUGUGUUUCAUCAAGUAGACAUACCCAUAUCUACUCAAGUCAUCAGUGAGAGUGAAAACAUAAUGAUAUCCUCCGCGAGCCUCAACGCUCAUUGGACCACACACAUCAGUAUGUAUGAUUUCCAAUAAGUUGGUUGCUCGCUCCAUUGUUCUGGAGAACAGAGUCUUGGUCAUUUUGCCCAUGAGGCAUGGUUCGCAUGUGUCAAAUGAUUCAUAAUCGAGAGACUCUAAAAGUCCAUCAUCAUGGAGCUUCUUCAUGCGCUUGACACCAAUGUGACCAAGGUGGCAGUGCCACACGUAUGUGGGACUAUCGUUACCAACUUUACAUCUUUUGGUAUUCACACUAUGAAUAUGUGUAACAUUACGUUCGAGAUUCAUUAAGAAUAAACCAUUGACCAUCGGGGCAUGACCAUAAAAUAUAUCUCUCAUAUAAAUAGAACAACCAUUAUUCUCGGAUUUAAAUGAGUAGCCAUCUCGUAUUAAACGAGAUCCAGAUACAAUGUUCAUGCUCAAACUUGGCACUAAAUAACAAUUAUUGAGGUUUAAAACUAAUCACGUGGGUAAAUGUAGAGGCAGCGUGCCGACGGCGAUCACAUCGACCUUGGAACCAUUCCCGACGCGCAUCGUCACCUCGUCCUUCGCCAGUCUCCGCUUAUUCCACAGCUCCUACUAUGAGUUACAAAUAUGAGCAAUGGCACCGGUAUCAAAUACCCAGGAGUUACUAUGAGUACUGGUAAGGUACACAUCAAUUACAUGUAUAUCACAUAUACCUUUAGUGUUUUCGGCCUUCUUGUCCGCUAAGUAUUUGGGGCAGUUCCGCUUCCAGUGACCCUUCCCUUUGCAAUAAAAGCACUCAGUCUCAGGCUUGGGUCCAUUCUUUGACUUCUUCCCGGCAACUGGCCUACCGGGUGCGGCAACAUCCUUGUCGUCCUUCUUGAAGUUCUUCUUACCCUUCCCUUCUUGAACUUGGUGGUUUUAUUGACCAUCAACACUUGAUGUUCUUUCUUGAUUUCUACUUCUGUUGACUUUAGCAUUGAAAAUACUUCAGGAAUAGUUUUCACCAUCCCCUGCAUAUUGUAGUUCAUCACAAAGCUCUUGUAGCUUGGUGGGAGCGACUGAAGGAUUCUGUCAGUGACCGCCUUGUCCGGGAGGUUGAUGUCCAGCUGGGACAGGCAGUUGUGCAACCCAGACAUUUUGAGUAUGUGCUCACUGACAGAACUAUUUUCCUCCAUCUUACAACUAUAGAACAUGUCGGAGACUUCAUAUCUUUCGACCCGGGCAUGAGCUUGGAAAACCAGUUUCAGCUCCUUGAACAUCUCAUAUGCUCCGUGUUGGUCAAAAUGCUUUUGGAUCCUCGGUUCUAAGCUGUAAAGCAUGCCGCACUGAACGAGGGAGUAAUCAUCAGCACGUGACUGCCAAGCGUUCAUAAUGUCUUGGUUCUCUGGGAUGGGUGCAUCACCUAGUGGUCCUUCUAGGACAUAUGCUUUCUUAGCAGCUAUGAGGAUGAUCCUCAGGUUCUGGACCUAGUCCGUAUAGUUGCUUCCAUCAUCUUUCAGCUUGCUUUCUCUAGGAACGCGUUGAAGUUCAUGUUGACAUGAGCGUUGGCCAUUUGAUCUACAAGACAUUUUUGCAAAGAUUUUAGACUAAGUUCAUGAUAAUUAAGUUCAUCUAAUCAAAUUAUUUAAUGAACUCCCACUCAGAUUUGACAUCCCUCUAGUCAUCUAAGUGUUACACGAUCCGAGUCGACUAGGCCGUGUUCGAUCAUCACGUGAGACAGACUAGUCAUCAUCGGUGAACAUCUCGAUGUUGAUCGUAUCUUCCAUACGACUCAUGUUCGACCUUUCGGUCUCUGUGUUCCGAGGCCAUGUCUGUACAUGCUAGGCUCGUCAAGUUUAACCUAAGUGUUUUGCAUGUGUAAAACUGUCUUACACCCGUUGUAUGUGAACGUAGGAAUCUAUCACACCGGAUCAUCACGUGGUGCUUCGAAAUGACGAACUUUAGCAACGACGCACAGUUAGGGAGAACACUUUCUUGAAAUUAUUAUAAGGGAUCAUCUUAUUUACUACCGUCGUUCUAAGUAAACAAGAUGCAUAAACAUAAUAAACAUCACAUGCAAUUAUAUAGUAGUGACAUGAUAUGGCCAAUAUCAUAUAGCUCCUUUGAUCUCAAUCUUCGGGGCUCCAUGAUCAUCUUUGUCACCGGCAUGACACCAUGAUCUCCAUCAUCAUGAUCUCCAUCAUCGUGUCUCCAUGAAGUUGCUCGCCAACUAUUACUUCUACCACUAUGGCUAACGGUUUAGCAAUAAAGUAAAGUAAUUACAUGGCGUUAAAUCAUUGACACACAGGUCAUACAAUAAUUAAGACAACUCCUAUGGAUCCUGCCGGUUGUCAUAUUCAUCGACAUGCAAGUCGUGAUUCCUAUUACAAGAACAUGAUCUCAUACAUCACAAUAUAUCAUUCAUCAUUCAUCACAACUUUUGGCCAUAUCACAUCACAAGGCAAUUGCUGCAAAAACAAGUUAGACGUCCUCUAAUAGUUGUUGCAUCUUUUACGUCGCUGCAAUAGGGUUCUAGCAAGAACGUUUUCUUACCUACGAAAAAGCCACAACGUGAUUUGUCAACUUCUAUUUACCCUUCAUAAGGACCCUUUUCAUCGAAUCCGCUCCAACUAAAGUGGGAGAAACAGACACCCGCUAGCCACCUUAUGCAAGUAGUGCAUGUCAGUCGGUGAAACCUGUCUCAUGUAAGCGUACGUGUAAGGUCGGUCCGGGCCGCUUCAUCCCACAAUACCCUGAAGCAAAAUAAGACUAGUAGCGGUAAGAAAGUUGACAACAUCUACGCCCACAACAGAUUUGUGUUCUACUCGUGCAAUAGAGAACUACGCAUAGACCUAGCUCAUGAAGCCACUGUUGGGGAACGUUGCAUAAAAUAAAAAAUUUCCAACGUUCACCAAGAUCAAUCUAUGAGUUCAUCUAGCAACAAGAGAGGGAGUGCAUCUACAUACCCUUGUAGAUCGCGAGUGGAAGCGUACAAGAGAAUGGGGUUGAGGGAGUCAUACUCGUCGUGAUCCAAAUCACCGGAGAUUCUAGCGCCGAACGGACGGCACCUCCGCGUUCAACACACGUAUGGUCAGCGUGACGUCUCCUCCUUCUUUAUCCAGCAAGGGGAAAGGAGAGGUUGAUGAAGAUCCGGCAACACGACGGCGUGGUGGUGGAUGCAGCAGAGUUCCGGCAGGGCUUCGCCUAGUGACUACGGGAGGAGGAGGUGUAGAAAGGGGGGAGGGAGGCGCCAAGACUUCAGGGUGCGGCUGCCCUCCCCUCCCCCUCCUUUAUAUAGGCCCCUUGGGGGGGAGCCGGCCCUGGAGAUGGGAUAUCCAAAGGGGGCGGCGGCCAGGGGGGUGGAGUGCCCCCCAAGGCAAGUGGAGGCGCCCCCCCACCCUAGGGUUUCCAACCAUAGGCGCAGAGGGGGGCCAAGGGGGCACACCAGCCCACCAGGGGCUGGUCCCCUCCCCACUUCAGUCCACGGGGCCCUCCAGGAUAGGUGGCCCCACCCGGUGGACCCCCGGGACCCUUCCGGUGGUCCCGAUACAAUACCGGUGACCCCCGAAACUCUCCCGAUGGCCGAAACUGGACUUCCUAUAUAUAAUUUUAUCUUUGGACCAUUCCGGAACUCCUCGUGACGUCCGGGAUCUCAUCCGGGACUCCGAAAAACUUUCGGUUUGCUGCAUACUCAUAUCUCUACAACCCUAGUGUCACCGAACCUUAAGUGUGUAGACCCUACGGGUUCGGGAGACACGUAGACAUGACCGAGACGGCUCUUCGGUCAAUAACCAACAUCGGGAUCUGGAUACCCAUGUUGGCUCCCACAUGCUCCUCGAUGAUCUCAUCGGAUGAACCAUGAUGUCGAGGAUUCAAGCAACCCCGUAUUCAAUUCCCUUUGUCAAUCGAUAUUUUACUUGCCCGAGAUUCGAUCGUCGGUAUCCCAAUACCUCAUUCAAUCUCGUUACCGGCAAGUCACUUUAAUCGUACCAUAAUGCAUGAUCCCGUGACCAGACACUUGGUCACUUUGAGCUCAUUAUGAUGAUGCACUACCGAGUGGGCCCAGAGAUACCUCUCUGUCAUACGGAGUGACAAAUCCCAGUCUCGAUCCGUGUCAACCCAACAGACACUUUCGGAGAUACCUAUAGUGCACCUUUAUAGUCACCCAGUUACGUUAUGACCUUUGGUACACCCAAAGCUAUCAGGACCCCGACUCAAUGCCACAUCGAUCUAGCAUGUAACACCUCAUAUCACUUUGCGGCCUCACGCACGGUAUUCCCACGGGUGUCGUCUUACCUUUGCCCGGGACCGUUUGCACCUUUUGGCACACGUAUAUGAUAGUGUUGCUGGCAUCCAUAUGGUAAGGAGCCCGGGCUGACAUGGCUAGUCGUAAACCCAAAGUGGCACAGACUUACAGGGACAGGCAUCCAUGACCCAGCAUCGAACGUGUCGGUCAUCAGCAAGUGAAUCCGGGCUUUAGCACCGGGCUAGCAGGACUCCGGUAAACCGUGCUGCAGCGGGCUAACAGGACUCCGGUAUUCAUCGCAUGACAUUUCGCCGAAGGGACAGACACAGGAACGAAGAAGGCACAUGCCGGCCAGCCUAAGUGUUCCGGAGCAGUAGCAAGCUACCAUGGCUCAGUGGAAGCACUAGGAGACAUUUCCCGGUAAGAGAGGCUACUAAGGAUAAACAACUAGAUAGUCAGAUCCCACACAUACCAAGCAUUUCAAUCAUACACACAAUAUGCUCGAUAUGUGCAAAUACAACAAGGCAUCACAACAUGACUCUACAACACAAGUACUUUAUUUAAAGGCUCAGAGAGCCAUACAUAGUAUACACACAAGUACGGGUCACAUGACCCACAUUCAAGUAAUACAAGCAUACAAGCCAACAGCGGAAGUAACUUGUCUGAGUAGAGACAACUAGUAAAAUAAAAGAGGCCUGGGUAAGCCUAGCUAUACUACAUGGUCCUUCACAAGCUCAGGAUCACCACCUGGGCCUCAGUCUACUCAUCGAUGUCAACGUCUACGAAGAACCUGUCAGAAGGGGUUGUAGCAUCUUCUGUAAAAUGUAAAUUAGAGCAACAUGAGUACAAAGGUACUCAGCAAGACUUACAUCAGAUCCUACAUACAUGCACAUUAUCAAGAAGGGUUGGUGGGGUUAUUGCAGCAAGCCAGCUUCGACUCUUGGCUAAGCUAUCCUAUGAGACUCCAACUUGAAAUGGUUUUGCACACACGAGUCCACUACUCACCACUUCAAUACACAACCGAGGAUUCACCUCCGUCUUCCUACGGAAGAGCCAUCCUCGGCACUCACAAUUAUCUUGAGGCUUUUAGUAGUUUCCAUUUACUUGUCUAUGAACUGUUAUAGGCAACACAGAAGUCCUUUACCGCGGACACGGCUAUUCGAAUAGAUCAUUUAUAACCCUGCAGGGGUGUACUUCUUCAUACAUGUUUCCACCACUUAGCAUCUGCACACGACAUGUGCUCGGCAGACUUCAAGCGAAAGCGAAAGCCUAAACACUCAAGUCUCUAGUCCAGGUUUAUCGCCUAUUCAGGUUCCAUCCGCAGGGAGUCCGUCCGAGGUUUCCACAUACGGCCCCGAACGAUGUGUAUAGGGUUCCGUGACACCAAACAGGCGCCCGGUAUACCCGGCCACGUGCCUACCGCAUCACAGCCCACCCCUUCGAUCAGCGUUGCGCACGACCUCCAGCAUACUACAAACACCAGAAACUACUUGCAACUCCUGGACAGAGGACAAGGGUGAUUAAGAAGUCGAGCAGGGUCAUAUUUCAGGGCCCAAUGCAUGGUAGUAGCUGAACCAUGGAUCACAAACACAGAACUCAGUUCCUGAGGACGGCUUCAAUGAGACAAUCCACCAUGUACUCCUACAUGGCCUCUCAUAGCUACCUUUACCAAAUCCUGUUCACACACUUAGCUCACACUCAGUAGAAUAUGUUCACGCACCUCUGAUUCAUCCCCGAUGAAUCAGACCUGACUCAACUCUAAGCAAUAGCAGGCAUGACAAACAAACAUGAAUGAGUAGGCACAACAGGGCUCAAACAACUCCUACUCAUGCUAGUGGGUUUCAUCUAUUUACUGUGGCAAUGAUAGGUCCUGCAGAGGAUAAAGGGGUUCAGCUACCGCAGCAAGUAACAGAUGAAUCAUUGCUGUCCUAAUGCAGUAAAAGAGAGCAGGAGCGAGAGAGUAGGAUUGUAUCGAAAUGAACAAGGGGGUUUUGCUUGCCUGGCACUUCUGAAGAUAGUAUACUUCUUCAUCGGUGUCAGCGAUCACAACGUCGGUACAACGUCUACCGAGGGGGAACAACACUGGCAAACAGAGAAGAAACACGAUCAAUGCAAUGCACAAUAUGAUGCCUGCUAUGACAUGGCAAUAUGAAUGUGUUUUGGGCUAAUGCAAGCUAGAACAGAUUGAGAUGAGUCCAUUUGAACCAAAGAUUCAAAUGCAAACCCAUUUUAAGAGGUCAUAAUAGUGUAUUAACUUGUUUCACCUAAACAGCAAGGUUAAUGUGUUCUAACAUGCAUGAAACCAGUGCAGAUGGAUAGAUUGGAUUUUUUUGAUCAUUUUUCAUAUAUAAAUUAUUUCAUUCUAAGUUACGGUUAAAUUUCUAUGAAUUUUAGAAGUUUAGAGCAUUUUCUGGAAUUUCCUGUAUAAAAAUAAAUCUAGAAAAUACUUAUUGCGUCAGCAUUGCGUCACUCUGACGUCAGCAGUCAACGAGGCCGGUCCAGGUCAAACCUGACGUGUGGGGUCCACACAUCAGUGACACGGUUAACCAACAGGGUUAAUUAAAAUUAAACUAAACCUAAUCUAGUUUAGUUAAGGCCUGGGCCCACAUGUCAGAGGCUAACCUAACUAACUAAGUUAAUUACCGCUCAUUAAUCUAUCGCUUAAUUAAGCAGGGGCCUGGCCCACACGUCAAUGAGUCAGGGGGAAGUCAAACCCCGGUCAAACCCGCCGGACCUGGUCCACGGCUCGUCGCCGGCGACGACAGAGACAACGAGGCGGCUCGGGAAUGCUCUACAGGGCACCGUUUUACUCGUGGUUUGCGGCUACGGCUAGCUAGCAAUGCGGCGCAUCUAAUGGAGCGAAUGGGUGGAGCUGGGGUGGCCUGAGCCGACGGCGGCGAGCUCCAAGGCGGCGGCCGGAGUUCGGGCAAUGACGGGUUUGGCGCCACAGUGCAUGGGAGGAGGAGCUGGUGGGCGCUACGGGCUCUUGGGGGUGCACUGGGUGUAGUGACGCGCUCGGUUUGGACGGAGGUGAACUAAAAUGACGACAGCGACAAGUCUGGCACCAGUGAGGUUUCGGUCUCGACGGAAACGAGGGCUACGAUGAGCUAAUGGACAUGUGAGUAGGGGGGUCAGUAAAGGAGCUUACGGCGAGUGCAGAGGUGGCCUCGGCGUGCUCGGGGAAGCACUGGAGCGAGCGGUGCGGCGAGAGGGAUCUCCGGCGGCCGGUGACGAAGAUGAUCAAGAUGGCGUCAAUCCAGGGCCUCCGGCGAUGCGUGGCUAGACGGAGAGGACGAGGGAGGCGUGGCGAUGCUCGUGGACACGUCGGAGAGGCUCGGGGUUGGCUGCGGCUGCGGCUAUGGCGAACGGCGGCGGCGGUGGCGUUCGGUGGUGAGAGGGAGAGAGAGUAGAGGAGGGGGAGGAGCAUGGGGAGAGUGAGAGAGAGCCACAGGGGUUGCGUGUCGACGUCCAUGGCAUCCAGAGGGACGUCGGGAGGCGGUGGAAAGCUGGAGGUGGCCGAGGGGCGUGGGCGUGAAUGGCGGCCACACGCCUCUCAUCCUACUGGCGAGAGGUGGGAGAUGACUGGCAGAUGGGCCUGGUGGGCUGCUACAGUGCCAGGCCGGCCAGGUAAGCGCCAGGUAUUCUCUCUCUCUCUCUCUUUUGUUAAUGUUUUUCUAUUUUUCUGUAACUUCAGGGCUUUAUUAAAAAUGCCAGGGCAUUUCCAAAAAUCAUGAAACUAAUCAUGGCUACUGUUUAGAAUAUAUCCAACAGUAAACAUUUUAGUUUAUGAUUAUUUGAGCAUUUAAAAUAUUUUAUAGCACUUAAAUGCCCAAAUGCAAAUACUAUAGGAUUUAAUUUAGAAAUCCAGAAUGGCCUAGAAAUAUGUGCAUGACAUUUGGCAGAGGUUUUCACCUUUGACCGAAAUCAUGAACUUUUCUAAAGGGCAUUUGGGAUCACUAAAAAUAUUAUUUUUUUGAACCUAGUUGAAUUCAUUUGGUGCUAGGGUUUCAACAAUCCCCAUUUCAAGUUUCAUGAAAUUUAAACAUGAUGCAUGGAUGCAAAGUCACUAGUUACGAGCAAACUCUAGGGCUGUGAUAACUCACCCCCACUAAACAAGAAUCUCGUCUUGAGAUUCAAGACGUGAGGUAAGAAGACAAAGGGGGCACAAAACCAACACAAUCUUCAUGAUCCAGGUUGCACCUCAUAAGGUUGUUGAUUCGUUGCAUACAUUGAUCUUGACAUCCUCGCUUUUGAGAUCUUCAUCCAUGCGAUGACGACGGAAAGGAACUCUACUAGGAUUGAUCUUCUCAAAGACCGAAUUAUACAAUCUCAACUCGCGGAGUGAGAUGUUGAAACACCUUGAGUUGAGACACAAAACACAUCGAGAGGGAUGGAAGAACAAACGACGGGGUUUGAUUUGGUGGGAAACAAUUCCACGCUUAGAAAGAUGGUGGAUGGUGUCAAGGUGGCGAGGAAAUAAUUGCCAUGAUCCCGUAACGGGGCACCUUAGGGAAGGUGACUCGUAGGUUUGUUACCUUAAGUGGCAAAAGGAAUUAUUUUUGAUUCAGAGAUCAUUGAAACUCUUUAUACCAGCCUAAGGCAAUUCACAACAAUCGUUUGGCAGAGUACAAAGGGAUGGCAUACCCGGACUAGAAUGGAUGAUGUGGACUACCUUGUUGAAGACAACGUAAUGAAUGCUUUUUGCUUAUCAUCGGAGGUGGAGGGGACCCAUGGUAGGACCACUUCUAAAGAUGAUCCUGAACAACAAUUGCUGAGAAGGGCAGUCCAAGGAGGAUUGGCACAAGGCGGUGCAAGCUGGGAACGAAAUGCAAAUGUCGGGAAUGUUCCAACCAUCAUAUCUGCCUGAGAUUCAGAUUUGGUUGGUGUUAGGACAUUCCAGACUCAUCAAGUCUAGGAAGAAAAAUGAAAGUUUGCAACACAAAUCGAUGAGAUGACGUCGCGAGAUUCUCGGGAGAUAAACUACGAUAGCAAGCUCCAAAACAUGAGCUGGUUCUGCUAAACAUGUGUGAACACGCUGUCCCAGACAAACAUGACCACAUAGUAGUCUUAAUAUAAAACACUACCGAGUUCAGGUGGGGAACCAUCAUUGCGGAUAACGAAGUCCUUGCAUAAGUCAUGAUUCUUAAGAAGGAGCUUCUUCUCCCUGAACAAAUCAAUCAGUGGCUUGGUGUGCUAGGGAUACGUAAGCAAUGAAGAUGAUCAGUCUAUCAGACCAUAGAAUACUUCGCACAUGCAUGACUGACUUGGGAUGAUCCCGGAGGGAACAAAACUAACUUUCUCAAAUUCACGGCGGCAACUUGCACCUAAUGCGCGUGAACUUGGAGAGAGUCACUUCUUACAUCCAAGCAUAUUCUUCAUGAACGAAACACGAAGAUAAUGCUUAUAUAGUUUCCAAUACUAGCUGAAGGUUCAACACGAAUCAUGGAAGAGAUAAAAAUGUUGCUGAUGGGCUCAACAACAAUUCAUCUAGGUUUCCAUAUAAGUGGAAUUCCACAAUUAUGUGAACAAGGCGAUAGCAUCGGUCAGACCAAAGGAUAUAACGGUGUAUGCCCGAGGAAACAACCACGGGUAAGACAACAUUACGAAUAUCGUUGGUUCUGAUUUGACUUGACAAUAGCCCAUGCUCAAAUCAGAGAUUGGUUACGAUAAUAGAUCCAACAACUGAUCACAGGGACCAAUCGAUGAAGAUAUCAUCUUUCUUCAACAUACAUACAAGAUAUCACUUAACAUGAACUAAGUCGGACAAGCUUUUAUCUUCCAACUCUCCAAGUUGAUGUAUAGCUUAACCAACUAGCUCAGGGGUAUCCAACACGGAUUCUUGGAGAAAGGGUGGUUUACAAGAAUAAACCAACUUGAUCAUGAACUCAACAUAGCGGUCAGGUGACGACCUAGUGAUACUUCCGAGAAGAUAAUCAGAAAAUCAGGAACCACCGGUAUGUUACUAAGCUCGAGAGAAAUCUUGCUUUUCAGGGCAAGACGAUAUGAUCAAAUGAGCAAGGGAUUGACAAAAUCCUAACUCAACGACCGAAGAGUGCACCGGAAAUAGGGACUAGAUAGCACAAUCAACCUUAGGGUGACGAUUCAAUAAUCAACACGCUAAGAAUGAGGUUAGCGUCCAUUUAACUACCAAGCAACGGAGUUGCUAGCAGUAUUGAUUUCACACACCAUGAUUCACUUGUCAGUAUUCCGGUUGCAACAACACGGAACCGAGGAGCGAAUGAUGAUGGCAAGAAGUAUCACUACUUCAAGAAUCCAUAAGGGAAGGUGCAAUUCUCAUGACGUUCCUGACAUAAAGUGGGUAAUACUUCAGGGUAGAACAGAACAAAAGCUGAAUUAGUAUUUGAUCUGCGAUUUACAACUGCUUUGACCCGAUCCUGGAUAUGGAUGAGGUACGGGAGUUUGUUUCUCCUAGUCAUUCUAGAAUAGAAUGGCUUGACAUACCACUAGAGUAAUAGGCAUCAAUGAACGAAUGCACGCAUACUCUUGACUAUCAAUUGAUAGAUGGGGUCGGAAUACAACUAAGGAGGGACAACCCAAACGAACUUACGAUCUUCUGAGUUGUGGAUGCACAUAUUAGUAUGUCGAGCAAAGAUCAACAUUUUUCUUCCGGAUAACCCAUGCGGAGAAGGUAGGACUGGCAGAUUCACAAUAUAGAAUCGAGAACGCAUCAAGAGCACUCUGGUUGUGAUCUUUCGGUUAAACGAGGAACUUCUGCCAUAAGUAGUUCAUGGUAUUUGGAAGAAGGAAAUACCACGGACCUCGAGGACUAAUGCAAAGGUUACUAAUUUCCUAAAGGAACUAGCAAACACUAUCAUCAUGAGUAAGUGGGGUGAAUCUCGGUUCAAGAACCCAGGAAUAGAAUACCUACUACUAAGUGGCAUCACGGGAUGCUUUCGAGAAUAAAGGCCAGAAUUAUCACACCGGGAACAAAUCAUGGCUAGAUUACUAGAUGAUCCCCUAGGACACCUAGGGUCAUAAUAAUAAUUCCAACAUAUAUGUCGAGGCAAUAGAAUACUUCAACUCAGCAAUUAGUGUGAUUAACCUGGCUCAAAGGAACAUCAAAACCAGAGGGAAAUGAUUUGCAAGUGCAUCAGAUUGUUUAGAAACCUGGGAUGACUCGGACAACAUAACGGCUGUAAAUGCUCAAAAGGAAUUUUGAGACAUUUUGCAAAGAGUUGCAUAGACACUCAACAAUAUCAUAUCAAGGUUCUGGGUCCAACUUAGCAACAUAAUAGGGUAGUAGAACUGAACUAGGCUUAUAAUCAUCAAACCAAUAAGGUACUACUGAUUAGUAACACGUGAACCUGAUAGAGAGAAAAGAUCCUAAUCCUUAACCCCCGGUGGAAGAAUGGACUGACUCAGAUCAGAAUGCCAUGAGGUAAAGAAGUAAAAAGAGCCUUACGUACCAUCCCACAAUCAAUUCCCCUACAUAUAACUAAAGCAUUUCUAGACUCAACAUCGACCAGUUUGGCUUGGUAAUCCUACAGGCAGUCAGGCUCUUAUACCAAAGCUGUCAGGUCCUGAACGAUGUGUACAGGGUUCCGUGACACCAAACGGGCGCCCGGUAUACCCGGCCACGUGCCUACCGCAUCACAGCCCACCCCUCCGGUCAGCGUUGCGCACGGCCUCCAGCAUACUACAAACACCAGAAACUACUUGCAACUCCUGGACAGAGGACAAGGGUGAUUAAGAAGUCGAGCGGGGUCAUAUUUCAGGGCCCAAUGCAUGGUAGUAGCUGAAUCAUGGAUCACAAACACAUAACUCAGUUCCUGAGGGCGGCUUCAAUGAGACAACCCACCAUGUACUCCUACAUGGACUCUCACCGCUACCUUUACCAAAUCGUGUUCACACACUUAGCUCACACUCAGUAGAAUAUGUUCACGCACCUCUGAUUCAUCCCCGGUGAAUCCGACUUAACUCAACUCUAAGCAAUAGCAGGCAUGACAAACAAACAUGAAUGAGUAGGCACAACAGGGCUCAAACAACUCCUACUCAUGCUAGUGGGUUUCAUCAAUUUACUAUGGCAAUGACAGGUCAUGCAGAGGAUAAAGGGGUUCAGCUACCGCAGCAAGUAAUAGAUGAAUCGUUGUUGUCCUAAUGCAGUGAAAGAGAACAGGAGCGAUAGAGUAGCAUUGUAUCGGAAUGAACAAGGGGGUUUUGCUUGCCUAGCACUUCUGAAGAUAGUAUACUUCUUCAUCGGUGUCAUCGAUCACAACAUCGGUACAACGUCUACCGAGGGGGAACAACACCGGCAAACAGAGAAGCAACAUGAUCAAUGCAAUGCACAAUAUGAUGCAUGCUAUGACAUGGCAAUAUGAAUGUGUUUUGGGCUAAUGCAAGCUAGAACAGAUUGAGAUGAGUCCAUUUGAACCAAAGAUUCAAAUGCAAACCCAUUUUAAGAGGUCAUAAUAGUGUAUUAACUUGUUUCACCUAAACAGCAAGGUUAAUGUGUUCUAACAUGCAUGAAACCAGUGCAGAUGGAUAGAUUGGAUUUGUUUGAUCAUUUUUCAUAUAUAAAUUAUUUCAUUCUGAGUUACGGUUAAAUUUCUAUGAAUUUUAGAAGUUUAGAGCAUUUUCUGGAAUUUCCUGUAUAAAAAUAAAUCCAGAAAAUACUUAUUGCGUCAGCAUUGCAUCGCUCUGACGUCAACAGUGAACGAGGCCAGUCCAGGUCAAACCUGACGUGUGGGGUCCACACGUCAGUGACACGGUUAACCAACAGGGUUAAUUAAAAUUAAACUAAACCUAAUCUAGUUUAGUUAAGGCCUGGGCCAACAUGUCAGAGGCUAACCUAACUAAGUUAAUUACAGCUAAUUAAUCUAUCGCUUAAUUAAGCAGGGGCCUGGCCCACACGUCAGUGAGUCAGGGGGAAGUCAAACCCCGGUCAAACGGGGUCAAACCCGCCGGACCUGGUCCACGGCUCAUCGCCGGCGACGACAGAGACGAUGGGGCGGCUCGUGAAUGCUCUACAGGGCACCGUUUUACUCAUGGUUUGUGGCUACGGCUAGCUAGCAAUGCGGCGCAUCUAAUUGAGCGAACGGGAGGAGCUAGGGUGUCCUGAGCCGACGGCGGCGAGCUCCAAGGCGGCGGCCGGAGUUCGGGCAACGACGGGUUCGGUGCCAUAGUGCAUGGGAGGAGGAGCCGGUGGGCGCUACGGGCUCCUGGGGGUGCACUGGGUGUAGUGACGCGCUCGGUUUGGACGGAGGCGAACUAAAAUGACGACGGCAACAAGUCCGGCGCCGGUGAGGUUUCGGUCUCGACGGAAACGAGGGCUACGAUGAGCUAAUGGACAUGUGAGUAGGGGGGUUAGUAGAGGAGCUUACGACGAGUGCAUAGGUGGCCUAGGCGUGCUCGGGGAAGCACCGGAGCGAGCGGUGCAGCGAGAGGGAUCUCCGGCAGCCGGCGACGAAGAUGAUGAAGAUGGCGUCGAUCCAGGGCCUCCGGCGAUGCGUUGCUGUGCGGAGAGGACUAGGGAGGCGUGGCGAUGCUCGUGGACACGUCGGAGAGGCUCGGAGUUGGCUGCGGCUGCGGCUAUGGCGAACGGCGGCGGCGGUGGCGUUCGGUGGUGAGAGGGAGAGAGAGUAGAGGAGGGGGAGGAGCAUGGGGAGAGUGAGAGAGAGCCACAGGGGUUGCGUGUCGACGUCCAGGGCAUCCAGAGCGACGUCGGGAGGCGGUGGAAAGCUGGAGGUGGCCGAGGCGCGUGGGCGUGAAUGGCGGCCACACGCCUCUCGUCCUACUGGCGAGAGGUGGGAGAUGACUGGCAGAUGGGCCUGGUGGGCUGCUACAGUGCCAGGCCGGCCAGGUAAGCGCCAGAUAUUCUCUCUCUCUCUUUUGUUAAUGUUUUUUUAUUUUUCUGUAACUUCAGGGCUUUAUUAAGAAUGCCAGGGCAUUUCCAAAAAUCAUGAAACUAAUCAUGGCUACUGUUUAGAAUAUAUCCAACAGUAAACAUUUUAGUUUAUGAUUAUUUGAGCAUUUAAAAUAUUUUAUAGCACUUAAAUGCCCAAAUGCAAAUACUAUAGGAUUUAAUUUAGAAAUCCAGAAUGGCCUAGAAAUAUGUGCAUGACAUUUGGCAGAGGUUUUCACCGUUGACAGAAAUCAUGAAAUUUUCUAAAGGGCAUUUGGGAUCACUGAAAAUAUAUAUUUUUUGAACCUAGUUGAAUUCAUUUGGUGCUAGGGUUUCAACAAUCCCCAUUUCAAGUUUCAUGAAAUUUAAACAUGAUGCAUGGAUGCAAAGCCACUAGUUACAAGCAAACUCUGGGGCUAUGACAAAAGCACUCCUACGGUAUCGGUAUCCGGGAGUUACACGAUCUCAUGGUCUAAGGAGAAGAUACUUGACACUGGAAAAGCUCUAGCAAACGAACUACACGAUCUUGUGCUAUGCUUAGGAUUGGGUCUUGUCCAUCACAUCAUUUUCCUAAUGAUGUGAUCCCGUUAUCAACGACAUCUAAUGUCCAUAGUCAGGAAACCAUGACUAUCUGUUGAUCAACGAGCUAGUCAACUAGAGGCUCACUAGGGACAUAUUAUGGUCUAUGUAUUCACACGUGUAUUACGAUUUCCGGAUAAUACAAUUAUAGCAUGAAUAAAGACAAUUAUCAUGAACAAGGAAAUAUAAUAAUAAUCCUUUUAUUAUUGCCUCUAGGGCAUAUUUCCAACAACAUAUUCUACGAAGAUCUUUAUCGGUCAAACCACAUAACAACAUAGGUUCUUCCCUUUGUCAUCGGUAUGUUACUUGCCUGAGAUUCGAUCGUCGGUAUCUCAAUACCUAGUUCAAUCUCGUUACCGGCAAGUAUGUUUACUCAUUCCAUAAUGCAUGAUCCCGCAACUAACUCAUUAGUCACAUUGCUUGCAAGGCUUAUAGUGAUGUGCAUUACCGAGAGGGCCCAGUGAUACCUCUCCGACAAUCGGAGUGACAAAUCCUAACCUCGAUCUAUGCCAACUCAACAAGUACCAUCGGAGACACCUGUAGAGCACCUUUAUAAUCCCCCAGUUACGUUGUGACGUUUGGUAGCACACAAAGUGUUCCUCUGGUAUUUGGGAGUUGCAUAAUCUCAUAGUCAUAGGAACACGUAUAAGUCAUGAAGAAAGCAAUAGCAACAAACUAAACGAUCAAGUGCUAAGCUAACGAAAUGGGUCAAGUCAAUCACAUCAUUCUCUAAUGAUGUGAUCCCGUUAAUCAAAUGACAACUGUCUAUGGUUAGGAAACACAACCAUCUUUGAUUCAACGAGCUAGUCAAGUAGAGGCAUACUAGUGACACUUUGUUUGUCUAUGUAUUCACACAUGUACUAAGUUUCCGGUUAGUACUAUUCUAGCAUGAAUAAUAAACAUUUAUCAUGAUAUAUGGAAAUAUAAAUAACAACUUUAUUAUUGCCUCUAGGGCAUAUUUCCUUCAAAAUUUAGAGAUGACAAACAAAGCUUAAGUAGCAUCUGUUCUACUUGAUUGUAGAAAUUUCUUUUACCUGUAGAAUAACUCGGUUGUUAUUUCUUUAAACAUGAAGUGUGAUAUUAACUUAUCUCAAUCUAGGAACACAAAGCAAAUAUUACAUGUGCUUCUAUGGACUCCAAGCAGAUGAGAAAUCAUUUUGUCUAGAAGUUCCUUAGAAGGAUAUAAUAGUUUUGACCUAAACAAAUUUACUAUUGUACUCGUGUCUUACAAAGUUAAAGCUGAAAAUCAACAUAACCAUUGGACCCUUUGAAAGACAAGUGUAGGAAAUAAAUAGUAGGAUAUAAAUUUGAGCAGAAUGUUUGAUCAAAUACUGAACAAAUAACCCAGCAAACUACUAAAACUCGUCUAUUCUACCUUAUAUGAACUGUCACGAUGAUAAAGCUAUGAUUUUUUUUGGCAAAUAAGUAUCCUAGAACUAAUACAAGUUCAAACAAAUCAGCCACAGAUCCCCGAGCCCAUCCAACCAGAUAGCUGAAACUGAAAGAAGCAUUAGCUCGAUUAGAGCACCUACAGCGGAACUUGACAAAUUUGACCCCUGAAACGCCCGCGGACACGCGUGUUAGUAGACAUAAACCAAUCUUUAAGCAGAGCACGUCCGGCAGUCGGAUGCUCCCCAAAGUGUUGGUCCAGUCGCCGGCAAGGUAGAGUAGGGCAUGGGAUACAAGGCGGCUCACGGGACUCGAGGCGCCACCGUCCCCCAUUCCCAACUCUUCUCAGUCGGAACCCGGACAGUGCCGGUGGACGUCAGAUCGAUGAUGGAUCCUUCCUGGGACGAGCCAGCAACAUCCACCACCACGUGGUUGUGCAGCCCGAACUAGUGCACAAUAUGGGGAGCCGGAAAAUACGACUCCGCCUCCGCAACGCCCACCACCGCGAGGGCUGUCGCUGCCUCCCGCACCCGCUGCAUUGCAUGGCAGGAGCGCCGAACUAUGUUUUGCAUCGGGCGACGCCCAUGGUGCGUCCAUGGCCUCAGUGCGCCAAUGGAGGGGCUGCGCGUCCGCCACCCAUUCAAACGCCAGAUGGACCGCACCACCUUUGUGUUGGAAAUAUGCCCUAGAGGAAAUAAUAAAAGGAUUAUUAUUGUAUUUCCUUGUUCAUGAUAAUUAUCUUUAUUCAUGCUAUAAUUGUAUUAUCCAGAAAUCGUAAUAGACGUGUGAAUACAUAGACCAUAAUAUGUCCCUAGUGAGCCUCUAGUUGACUAGCUCGUUGAUCAACAGAUAGUCAUGGUUUCCUGACUAUGGACAUUAGAUGUCGUUGAUAAUGGGAUCACAUCAUUAAGAUAAUGAUGUGAUGGACAAGACCCAAUCCUAAGCAUAGCACAAGAUCGUGUAGUUCGUUUGCUAGAGCUUUUCCAAUGUCAAGUAUCUUCUCCUUAGACCAUGAGAUCGUGUAACUCCCGGAUACCGUAGGAGUCCUUUGGGUGUACCAAACGUCACAACGUAACUGGGUGACUAUAAAGGUGCACUACAGGUAUCUCCGAAAGUGUUUGUUGGGUUGACACCGAUCGAGACUGGGAUUUGUCACUCCGUAUGACGGAGAGGUAUCGCUGGGCCCACUCGGUAGUGCAUCAUCAUAAUGAGCUCAAAGUGACCAAGUGUCUGGUCACGGGAUCAUGCAUUACGGUACGAGUAAAGUGAAUUGCCGGUAACGAGAUUGAACGAGGUAUUGGGAUACCGACGAUCGAAUCUCGGGCAAUUAAAAUACCGAUUGACAAAGGGAAUUGAAUACGUGGUUGCUUGAAUCCUCGACAUCGUGGUUCAUCCGAUGAGAUCAUCGAGGAGCAUGUGGGAGCCAACAUGGGUAUCCAGAUCCCGCCGUUGGUUAUUGACUGGAGAGCCGUCUCAGUCAUGUCUACGUGUCUCCCGAAUCCGUAGGGUCUACACACUUAAGGUUCGGUGACGCUAGGGUUGUAGAGAUAUGAGUAUGCAGCAAACCGAAAGUUGUUCGGAGUCCCGGAUGAGAUCCCGGACAUCACGAGGAGUUCCGAAUGGUCCGGAGAUAAAGAAUUAUAUAUAGGAAGUGCAUUUUCAGCGAUCGGGAGAGUUUCGGGGGUCACCGGUAUUGUACCGGGACCACCGGAAGGGUCCCGGGGGUCCACUGGGUGGGGCCACCUAUCCCGGAGGGCCCCGUGGGCUGAAGUGGGGAGGGGACCAGCCCAUAGUGGGCUGGUGCGACCCCCUUGCCCCACCUACGCCUAGGGUUGGAAACCCUAGGGUGGGGGGCGCCUCCACUUGCCUUGGGGGGCACUCCACCCCCCUGGCCGCCGCCCCCUUGGGAGAUCCCAUCUCCAGGGCCGGCGCCCCCCCAGGGGGCCUAUAUAAAGGAGGGGGAGGGGAGGGCAGCCGCACCCUGAAGUCUUGGCGCCUCCCUCCCCCCUUGCUACACCUCCUCCUCCCGUAGUCGCUUGGCGAAGCCCUGCCGGAACUCUGCUGUAUCCACCACCACGCCGUCGUGCUGCUGGAUCUUCAUCAACCUCUCCUUCCCCCUUGCUGGAUCAAGAAGGAGGAGACGUCACGCUGACCGUACGUGCGUUGAACGCGGAGGUGCCGUCCGUUCGACGCUAGGAUCUCUGGUGAUUUGGAUCACGACGAGUACGACUCCCUCAACCCCGUUCUCUUGAACGCUUCCGCUCGCGAUCUACAAGGGUAUGUAGAUGCACUCCCCUCUCUCGUUGCUAGAUGAACUCAUAGAUUGAUCUUGGUGAACGUAGGAAAUUUUUUAUUUUAUGCAACGUUCCCCAACAGUGGCAUCAUGAGCUAGGUCUAUGCGUAGUUCUCUAUUGCACGAGUAGAACACAAAUCUGUUGUGGGCGUAGAUGUUGUCAACUUUCUUGCCACUACUAGUCUUAUUUUGCUUCAGCGGUAUUGUGGGAUGAAGUGGCCCGGACCGACCUUACACGUACGCUUACGUGACACAGGUUCCACCGACUGACAUGCACUAGUUGCAUAAGGUGGCUAGCGGGUGUCUGUCUCUCCCACUUUAGUUGGAGCGGAUUCGAUGAAAAGGGUCCUUAUGAAGGGUAAAUAGAAGUUGACAACUCACGUUGUGGCUUUUUUGUUGGUAAGAAAACAUUCUUGCUAGAACCCUAUUGCAGCCACGUAAAAGAUGCAACAACAAUUAGAGGACGUCUAACUUGUUUUUGAAGCAAUUGCCUUGUGAUGUGAUAUGGCCAAAAGUUGUGAUGAAUGAUGAAUGAUAUAUUGUGAUGUAUGAGAUCAUGUUCUUGUAAUAGGAAUCACGACUUGCAUGUCGAUGAGUAUGAAAACCGGCAGGAGCCAUAGGAGUGGUCUUAAUUAUUGUAUGACCUGCGUGUCAAUGAUUUAACGCCAUGUAAUUACUUUACUUUAUUGCUAAACCGUUAGCCAUAGUAGUAGAAGUAAUAGUUGGCGAGCAACUUCAUGGAGGCACGAUGAUGGAGAUCAUGAUGAUGGAGAUCAUGGUGUCAUGCCGGUGACAAAGAUGAUCAUGGAGCCCCGAAGAUGGAGAUCAAAGGAGCUAUAUGAUAUUGGCCAUAUCAUGUCACUACUAUAUAAUUGCAUGUGAUGUUUAUUAUGUUUAUGCAUCUUCUUUACUUAGAACGACUGUAGUAAAUAAGAUGAUCCCUUAUAAUAAUUUCAAGAAAGUGUUCUCCCUAACUGUGCGUCGUUGCUAAAGUUCGUCGUUUCGAAGCACCACGUGAUGAUCGGGUGUGAUAGAUUCCUACGUUCACAUACAACGGGUGUAAGACAGUUUUACACAUGCAAAACACUUAGGUUAAACUUGACGAGCCUAGCAUGUAUAUACAUGGCCUCAGAACACAGAGACCGAAAGGUCGAACAUGAGUCAUAUGGAAGAUACGAUCAACAUGGAGAUGUUCACCAAUGAUGACUAGUCCGUCUCACGUGAUGAUCGGACACGUCCUAGUCGACUCGGAUCGUGUAACACUUAGAUGACUAGAGGGAUGUCAAAUCUGAGUGGGAGUUCACUAAAUUAGAUGAACUUAAUUAUCAUGAACUUAGUCUAAAAUCUUUGCAAAAAUGUCUUGUAGAUCAAAUGGCCAACGCUCAUGUCAACAUGAACUUCAACGAGUUCCUAGAGAAAACCAAGCUGAAAGAUGAUGGCAGCAACUAUAUGGACUGGGUCCAGAACCUGAGGAUCAUCCUCAUAGCUUCCAAGAAAGCAUAUGUCCUAGAAGGACCACUAGGUGAUGCACCCAUCCCAGAGAACCAAGAUGUUAUGAACGCUUGGCAGUCACGUGCUGAUGAUUACUCCCUCGUUCAGUGCGGCAUGCUUUACAGCUUAGAACCGGGUCUCCAAAAGCGUUUUGAGAAACACGGAGCAUAUGAAAUGUUCGAGGAGCUGAAAAUGGUUUUCCAAGCUCAUGCCCGGGUCGAGAGAUAUGAAGUCUCCGACAUGUUCUAUAGUUGUAAGAUGGAGGAAAAUAGUUCUGUCAGUGAGCACAUACUCAAAAUGUCUGGGUUGCACAACUGCCUAACCCAGCUGGACAUCAACCUCCCGGACGAGGCGGUCAUUGACAGAAUCCUUCAGUCGCUCCCACCAAGCUACAAGAGAUUUGUGAUGAACUACAAUAUGCAGGGGAUGGUGAAAACUAUUCCUGAAGUAUUUUCAAUACUGAAGUCUGCAGAGGUAGAAAUCAAGAAAGAACAUCAAGUGUUGAUGGUCAAUAAAACCACCAAGUUCAAGAAGGGCAAGGGUAAGAAAAACUUCAAGACGGACGGCAAGGAUGUUGCCGCACCCGGUAGGCCAGUUGCCGGGAAGAAGUCAAAGAAUGGACCCAAGCCUGAGACUGAGUGCUUUUAUUGCAAAAGGAAGGGUCACUGGAAGCGGAACUGCCCCAAAUAGUUAGCGGACAAGAAGGCCGGCAACACUAAAGGUAUAUGUGAUAUACAUGUAAUUGAUGUGUACCUUACCAGUACUCGUAGUAACUCCUGGGUAUUUGAUACCGGUGCCGUUGCUCAUAUUUGUAACUCACAGUAGGAGCUGCGGAAUAAGCGGAGACUGGCGAAGGACGAGGUGACGAUGCGCGUCGGGAAUGGUUCCAAGGUCGAUGUGAUUGCCGUCGGCACGCUGCCUCUACAUUUACCCACGGGAUUAGUUUUAAACCUCAAUAAUUGUUAUUUAGUGCCAAGUUUGAGCAUGAACAUUGUAUCUGGAUCUCGUUUAAUACGAGAUGGCUACUCAUUUAAAUCCGAGAAUAAUGGUUGUUCUAUUUAUAUGAGAGAUAUGUUUUAUGGUCAUGCCCCGAUGGUCAAUGGUUUAUUCUUAAUGAAUCUCGAACGUAAUGUUACACAUAUUCAUAGUGUGAAUACCAAAAGAUGUAAAGUUGAUAACGAUAGUCCCACAUACUUGUGGCACUGCCGCCUUGGUCAUAUUGGUGUCAAGCGCAUGAAGAAGCUCCAUGAUGAUGGACUUUUAGAGUCUGUCGAUUAUGAAUCAUUUGACACAUGCGAACCAUGCCUCAUGGGCAAAAUGACCAAGACUCCGUUCUCCGGAACAAUGGAGCGAGCAACCAACUUAUUGGAAAUCAUACAUACUGAUGUGUGUGGUCCAAUGAGCGUUGAGGCUCGCGGAGGAUAUCAUUAUGUUCUCACUCUCACUGAUGACUUGAGUAGAUAUGGGUAUGUCUACUUGAUGAAACACAAGUCUGAGACCUUUGAAAAGUUCAAGGAAUUUCAGAAUGAGGUAGAGAAUCAACAUGACCGAAAGAUAAAGUUCCUACGAUCAGAUCGUGGAGGAGAAUAUUUAAGUCACGAAUUUGGUACGCACUUAAGGAAAUGUGGAAUCAUUCCACAACUCACGCCGCCUGGAACACCUCAGCGUAACGGUGUGUCCGAAUGUCGUAAUCGCACUCUAUUGGAUAUGGUGCGAUCUAUGAUGUCUCCUACCGAUUUACUGCUAUCAUUUUGGGGAUACGCUCUAGAGACAGCUACAUUCACUUUAAACAGGGCUCCGUCUAAAUCCGUUGAGACGACACCGUAUGAAUUAUGGUUUGGGAAGAAACCUAAGCUAUCGUCUCUAAAAGUUUGGGGAUGCGAUGCUUAUGUCAAGAAACUUCAACCUGAAAAGCUCGAACCCAAGUCGGAAAAAUGCGUCUUCAUAGGAUACCCUAAGGAAACCAUUGGGUAUACCUUCUACUUAAGAUCCGAGGGCAAGAUCUUUGUAGCCAAGAACGGAUCCUUUCUGGAAAAAGAGUUUCUCUCGAAAGGAGUAAGUGGGAGGAAAGUAGAACUCGAUGAAGUAGUACCUCUUGAACCGGAAAGUAGUGGAGCUCAGGAAAAUGUUCCUGUGGUGCCUACACCGACUAGAGAGGAAAUUAAUGAUGAUGAUCACAGUACUUUGGAUCAAGUUGCUACUGAACUUCGUAGGUCCACAGGGACACAUUCCAAACCAGAGUGGUAUGGCAACCCUGUCCUGGAAAUCAUGUUUUUAGACAACGGUGAACCUUCGAACUAUGAAGAAGCGAUGGCGGGCCCAGAUUCCAACAAAUGGCUUGAAGGCAUGCAAUCCGAGAUAGAAUCCAUGUAUGAAAACAAAGUAUGGACUUUGACAGACUUGCCCGAUGAUCAGCGAGCGAUAGGAAACAAAUGGAUCUUUAAGAAGAAGACAGACGCGGAUGGUAAUGUUACCAUCUAUAAAGCUCGACUUGUCGCUAAGGGUUAUCGGCAAGUUCAAGGGGUUGACUACGAUGAAACUUUCUCUCCCGUAGCAAAGCUGAAGUCCGUCUGAAUCAUGUUAGCAAUUGUCGCAUACUAUGAUUAUGAGUUAUGGAAGAUGGACGACAAAACGGCAUUCCUUAACGGGCAUCUUAAGGAAGAACUGUAUAUGAUGCAGCCGGAGGGUUUUGUCGAUCCUAAGAAUGAUAAUAAGGUAUGCAAGCUCCAGCAAUCCAUUUAUGGGCUGGUGCAAGCAUCUCGGAGUUGGAACAUUCGCUUUGAUGAGAUUUUCAAAGCGUUUGGGUUUAUGAAGACUUAUGGAGAAGCCUGCGUUUACAAGAAAGUGAGUGGGAGCUCUGUAGCAUUUCUCAUAUUAUAUGUAGAUGACAUACUUUUGAUGGGAAAUGAUAUAAAACUUUUGGACAGCAUUAAGGCCUACUUGAAUAAGUGUUUUUCAAUGAAGGACCUUGGAGAAGCUGCUUACAUAUUAGGCAUCAAGAUCUAUAGGGAUAGAUCGAGACGCCUCAUAGGUCUUUCACAAAGCACAUACCUUAAUAAAAUAUUGAAGAAGUUUAAAAUGGAUCAGUCCAAGAAAGGGUUCUUGCCUGUAUUGCAAGGUGUGAAGUUGAGCUUGGCUCAAUGCCCGACCACGGCAGAAGAUAAAGAAGAGAUGAGUGUCAUCCCCUAUGCCUCAACCAUAGGAUCUAUUAUGUAUGCCAUGUUGUGCACCAGACCUGAUGUAAACCUUGCCGUAAGUUUGGUAGGAAGGUACCAAAGUAAUCCCGGCAAGGAACACUGGACAGCGGUCAAGAAUAUCCCGAAGUACCACAAAAGGACAAAGGACAUGUUUCUCGUUUAUGGAGGUGACAAAGAGCUCGUCGUAAAGGGUUACGUCGAUGCUAGCUUCGACACAGAUCUGGAUGACUCUAAGUCACAAACCGGAUACGUGUAUAUGUUGAAUCGUGGAGCAGUAAGCUGGUGCAGUUGCAAGCAGAGCGUCGUGGCGGGAUCUACAUGUGAAGCGGAGUACAUGGCAGCCUCGGAGGUAGCGCAUGAAGCAAUAUGGAUGAAGGAGUUCAUCACCGACCUAGGAGUCAUACCCAAUGCGUCGGGGCCAAUCACUCUCUUCUGUGACAACACUGGAGCUAUUGCCCUUGCCAAGGAGCCCAGGUUUCACAAGAAGACCAGGCACAUCAAGCGUCGUUUCAACUCCAUUCGUGAAAAUGUUCAAGAUGGAUACAUAGAUAUUUGCAAAGUACAUACGGAUCUGAAUAUCGCAGAUCCGUUGACUAAACCUCUUCUGCGAGCAAAACAUGAUCAACACCAGAACUCUAUGGGUGUUCGAUUCAUCACAAUGUAACUAGAUUAUUGACUAUAGUGCAAGUGGGAGACUGUUGGAAAUAUGCCCUAGAGGCAAUAAUAAAAGGAUUAUUAUUAUAUUUCCUUGUUCAUGAUAAUUGUCUUUAUUCAUGCUAUAAUUGUAUUAUCCGGAAAUCGUAAUACACGUGUGAAUACAUAGACCAUAAUAUGUCCCUAGUGAGCCUCUACUUGACUAGCUCGUUGAUCAACAUAUAGUCAUGGUUUCCUGACUAUGGACAUUAGAUGUCGUUGAUAAUGGGAUCACAUCAUUAGGAGAAUGAUGUGAUGGACAAGACCCAAUCCUAAGCAUAGCACAAGAUCGUGUAGUUCGUUUGCUAGAGCUUUUCCAAUGUCAAGUAUCUUCUCCUUAGACCAUGAGAUCGUGUAACUCCCGGAUACCGUAGGAGUGCUUUGGGUGUACCAAACGUCACAACGUAACUGGGUGACUAUAAAGGUGCACUACAGGUAUCUCCGAAAGUGUAUGUUGGGUUGACACGGAUCGAGACUGGGAUUUGUCACUCCGUAUGACGUAGAGGUAUCUCUGGGUCCACUCGGUAGUGCAUCAUCAUAAUGAGCUCAAAGUGACCAAGUGUCUGGUCACGGGAUCAUGCAUUACGGUACGAGUAAAGCGACUUGCCGGUAAAGAGAUUGAACAAGGAAUUGGGAUACCGAUGAUCGAAUCUCGGGCAAGUAAAAUACCGAUUGACAAAGGGAAUUGAAUACGGGGUUGCCUGAAUCCUCGACAUCGUGGUUCAUCCGAUGAGAUCAUCGAGGAGCAUGUGGGAGCCAACAUGGGUAUCUAGAUCCCGCUGUUGGUUAUUGACCGGAGAGCCAUCUCGGUCAUGUCUACGUGUCUCCCGAACCCGUAGGGUCUACACACUUAAGGUUCGGUGACGCUAGGGUUGUAUAGAUAUGAGUAUGCAGCAAACUGAAAGUUGUUCGGAGUCCCGGAUGAGAUCCCGGACGUCACGAGGGGUUCCGGAAUGGUCCGGAGAUAAAGAAUUAUAUAUAGGAAGUGCAGUUUCGGCCAUCGGGAGAGUUUCGGGGGUCACCGGUAUUGUACCGGGACCACCGGAAGGGUCCCUGGGGUCCACCGGGUGGGGCCACCAAUCCCGGAGGGCCCCGUGGGCUGAAGUGGGGAGGGGACCAGCCCCUGGUGGGCUGGUGCGCCCCCCUUGGGCCCCCCCUCCCGCGCCUAGGGUUGGAAACCCUAGGGUGGGGGGGGCGCCUCCACUUGCCUUGGAGGGCACUCCACCCCCUGGCCGCCGUCCCCUUGGGAGAUCCCAUCUCUAGGGCCGGCUCCCCCCCAGGGGUCCUAUAUAAAGGAGGGGGAGGGGAGGGCAGCCGCACCCUGAAGUCUUGGCGCCUCCCUCCCCCCUUGCUACACCUCCUCCUCCCGUAGUCGCUUGGCGAAGCCCUGCCGGAACUCUGCUGCAUCCACCACCACGUCGUCGUGCUGCUGGAUCUUCAUCAACCUCUCCUCCCCCCUUGCUGGAUCAAGAAGGAGGAGACGUCACACUGACCGUACGUGUGUUGAACGCGGAGGUGCCGUCCGUUCGGCGCUAGGAUCUCCGGUGAUUUGGAUCAUGACGAGUACGACUCCCUCAACCCCAUUCUCUUAAACGCUUCCGCUCGCGAUCUACAAGGGUAUGUAGAUGCACUCCCCUCUCUUGUUGCUAGAUGAACUCAUAGAUUGAUCUUGGUGAACGUAGGAAAUUUUUAUUUUAUGCAACGUUCCCCAACACUUUGGUGAGGCGGUGAUGGUACACCUAGCGCCGGAUCCAUGCAUCAUUUGGGCGGACGCAUUGGAUUCCCCGCGGAAGGAGUUCGAGUGUUGCCGUUGCCAUCGGGCAGCCUCCUCCCGGGAGCGGUGGAGCGCAAGCUGGAUGGCCAGCUCCUCCUAGGAGCCGCGUGGGAUGAGUUCGGGGUUGACGGAUCUGGAGGUGUAACACUGGGAUCCGCCUCCUGCCAUGCCGAAGAAGGCCAUAAGAUCGUCGAACGGGAGCUUGGGUGGCGGCAUAGAGUGGAGUAAAGUGGCUAGGGUUUGGUCCGGCAAGCGGAUGGGGAGGAAUAUAUGUGGGGUCGGGUGGGCCAGCGUGGACCGGGACCGACAUGGCGGACGCGCCUGGGCGCCGCAUAUUCUUCCUAGAUUUGGGCUGGAUAUCAGGGGUGCUGGUUAGCUUGGGCGUUUGAGGCCCAUCUGGAUAGUUUUUCUGUGACCUGACCGUUCGUCCGGGCGUUUGAGGUGGGUUUGGGACGCCCAGGUGUAAAUGCUCUUAGACCAUGUAGUACCUUGAGGAGGAUGGUGGGUCCAUGGAACAACUACAGCCUCUCCAUUUUGUUUGGGCGCAGGGCGAUAACGGAGUUAUCUCUACUCCUAAAGAGGGAGUCGUUAGUCUCCCUUCCACGGUUUUUUUGUCUUACCUCCCAUCUUUGUUUCAUUUUUUCCGUCUCUUUUUCCACCACCGUCUGUUUUUUCUCAUCUCCACCUGGCAUGUAACGAAAAAAAAUCUGUUUCAUAGGUCGAUUGUCAAGGUCCGAGAGCCGCCGCCACCUUCAUUGCGGACCUCUAGGUCGCCGUCCGGACACACCGCCGAGGUCCGCAAUCACCGACGUUGAGGUCCGAGAGGAGCUGCCGCCCCCUUCAUUCUGGGCCUGGACGCUUCAUGGUCCUCCUACCUCUCCCUUUCCUCUCCCCUUCUCUCCCGCUUCCAUCCUCACUCGCCGCCCCUGCCUCUCNNNNNNNNNNNNNNNNNNNNNNNNNNNNNNNNNNNNNNNNNNNNNNNNNNNNNNNNNNNNNNNNNNNNNNNNNNNNNNNNNNNNNNNNNNNNNNNNNNNNNNNNNNNNNNNNNNNNNNNNNNNNNNNNNNNNNNNNNNNNNNNNNNNNNNNNNNNNNNNNNNNNNNNNNNNNNNNNNNNNNNNNNNNNNNNNNNNNNNNNNNNNNNNNNNNNNNNNNNNNNNNNNNNNNNNNNNNNNNNNNNNNNNNNNNNNNNNNNNNNNNNNNNNNNNNNNNNNNNNNNNNNNNNNNNNNNNNNNNNNNNNNNNNNNNNNNNNNNNNNNNNNNNNNUCUCUCUCUCUCUCUCUCUCUCUCUUGUUUCCUACCCCACUGGUUCUACAAUGCUGGUCGUCGCCUUGGGUUGGCGAACCUAGCUACUGUGGGUUGGGAUUCAAAUGCCACAUCAUCUUUGGGACGCGGCCGUGACGGCUUGGCCUGAUGCCUGCGAAGUAGGGCGAGCAGAGACAACAUGAGACUGCGCCGCUGUGCUGUUCGCCGUGACGCGCUGUCACGCUGUGUAGAUGGAGGAUGCGUGCCCAAGCCUUGUUGUGCCUGUCUUCCCGUGCGGUAGUCGGGAUCUGGACUGGAUCGGGGUUGAGUUCGACACCACCGAACCCCGGCUUCCAGGAGACCAGGCGCCUCCUCUCCUCAUCACCCGUCUCACCAGAGGCAUGUGCAGAAUUCCGUACACCAUCUGCGCAAACAUGGUGGUCGACGACGCUCUGGAUGUGGUCUACGUGAGGACUAGGUUCCAUCAUUAACAUGUACCCUGGCAAGGUAUGUGCUAUGGGAUGUAAACUCUCGAUUUUAUCUUCAUUUUAGUUGCCUUCAUCUCAUGCUUUGUUCGUUCCAUAGGCAUUUGUCAUGAAUCUAUUUUCAGGAGGGUGAUGUUAACGAUUUCAAAAACUUGAUAGCAGGGUAUGGCUAUAGUUAUUGGUCAUGCAUUAUCGCGAGGCUUGACAAGCAUACCAUAAAAUGGUUUUUAUUUAUGCUCUCGUAGGUUAAACCAAUCUCUGUCAUUAUGAAAUUGGCAUAGCUGAACAUGAUCAGGACUUCAGCAGGGCAGGGUCAUUACUUUGGAGUUUCAGCACUCAUAGUUGGUGAGUGCUUAUGUCCUAAAAUUUUGGAUGUGACUAAACAUAGGCUGGUAUGGCUAAUCUUUUUUGCUUUUCUGUCCUUGCUCUUCACGGAAUCUUCAGGUUUACGGAUUGAUAAUUGUGAUCUAUGUUUCAACCACUUCCCAAUGUUUUACUUGAUGAGAAGGUUCUAAUUUUAUUUUAUUUUAUUUCACUUGAUGAGAAGGGUCCAUGUUUCACCGACUUUGUACAAGUGUGUUUGCUUAGCUAGAUUUCUGCCCUUAUUUUCUAUUUGACAUCCCUCAAUCAUUUUCUGCAGAUUCACUUCGUUCGUAUUCUAUAUUGUUGUAAGUGCACCUAGGGAUAUUAUAGUAGUUCUUAUCUGCAGUUUACUACAACUGGUGACCACAUCUCCAUAUUAUUAUCUUUAAAAUGUACUUUCAAAAAGUAAACUAAUUAACGUUAACCUUCCGCUCUGUAGAAACCACAUAAUUUCAACUCAUUAAUCAUUUUUUAGCGGAAAGGCAGUAAUCAAUGAUGGCGAUUUAAACUGUACUCCUUAUAGUAUUGAUAUUCCCCAUGCACCGGUAUGUUCUCGUACAUCCGUGAAACUUCUGAGUCAAAAUGUUAUAUCCUUAUGUAUACAGUUCAUCAUUGGUUGUUACAGAAUUUCCCAGUGGGCACAACCUCAACCCACACCUCCCACCAGGAUCUUCUCUCUGCCGGAGCCAUCCUACCUGCAGCCAGCUCCCCCUCGUACGCCCUGAUCUCCACCUUGUGUGCUGGUCCAUUCAUCAUAGCUAGAAGGUAAUGACUAAUGAGCAUGUCAUCUCUGCCCCUCUCAAUUUCAUCCUUGUGUUGUUUAUUUUUCAGAGAAUGUGGUAUUAUGUAGCCCCUCUCUGUUGAUGAAUUGAAUGUAUAGAUUAUAUACUAGCAAAAGAGCCCGUGCGUUGCAACGGGAUAAUAAAACCGACGAAUUGUACUCGUGUGACUUGAGCUUUGGUUGGUUUCACACGCUUAUACUUCUUAGUUUUCUUGUAAAAUAAUAUGGCGGUAUUUAUACUAUUCAGGGUUGGUUAUCCAUCCGUCAGGUUAUUCAGGGCGUAAAUUUACGGAAAGAAGCAUAUUGUGACGGUGAAUGCGACGGAGUCAAUCCGUGCUUUAUUAUUUGGAAAAGAGAAAUAUGCCUAUGCAUUGCUACGGCUCUAGAAUAAACCUAUACAUGGUCAAAAUACAGGACAGCAACAUGUCUUCUUUUAGUUUUUUUCAAACCAUUAGAAAUAUGUUAGAUUUUACUUAAGUUUAGUUCCCUUAUUCCACCAUAAAGCAUUCCGGUUGAAAAGGAGAUGGCGUCUGUCAUUUACUUUCUAGAAAAACAUAGAGUCGAUAAACUUUCCUGUAUCUUCAGCCAUAGGUCCUUUACUCAUAUUUAAAAAAUUGUAAUAUUUAAUCCAAGCAAAAUUAUAUGAAUUACAGGAAAAAUUGUACUCAUGUGACUUGAGCUUUGGUUGGUUUCACACGCUCAUACUUCUUAGUUUUUUUGUAAAAUAAUACGGCGGUAUUUAUACUAUUCAGGGUUGGUUAUCCAUCCGUCAGGUUAUUCUUGAAGCUAGCUAGUAAUCACCAUGAGUUCAGUUGGCGUUCCAAGUAAUCACCAAGCCAAUCGACCGUGAGCAUCCGGACGUUAGCUGCGAAUGACAGACGGCUGGAUGGGCUAAUGAAGAUUAAACCUCAAUUUUGUACGCGGUAGUGCUGCAGACCUUCUGCAGUGAGACUUCGAUCAGAAGGACUUACCAGACAGGGGCACGGAGGAUUUAGAUAUCCUACUGCAGCUGCCGCUGCUCACCAAGGAGUUGCUCCCGUGCCGCUCGAAGGUCGCCAGCUCGGGGCAGAGCAGGAGCUUAAAGGCCAUGGACACGCCAGACCUGAAGGACGGCAGUGGCAAGGGUGGCGCAGGUGGGCGACGUUGCUCGCGCUCGGGGCGGACGCCGGCGGCGCUCGAUCUUGCCUAGAGCACGGAGGGGACAGGGGAGCAGGGGAAGAGGUAGGCAGUAAACCAGAUAGGAAUGGCACAUGUAUCGCAUCUGCCCUCGGCGGAGCUCCGCUCUGUCGUCAACAUCCGCGACGGACCCCACGAAGCCCAUCAUGUCGGCGUCCUUGAGGAACCGCCCCUGCUUGCCGCGGCCGACCGCAAUUUCGGAGAAAUUGGAGAUGGGGGAUCGUCCGCGGUUCGGCAACGGGUACGGGGAGGAGUCCGGGGCAAAGACUGUUCCGCUCGACCGGCCGGAGGAGCGCAGCCGCUCCGGUGGCCAGAGAUCGAGGGGGUGGCGGCGGUGUCCAACCCCCAACAGGCUGUGUUCUUUUUCUGACGGGACGAAAAAGGGGAAUCCCUUCUCUGGAACCGCUGUCGUUGCUCGACUGUGCUCCAAGCCGCCGCCGCCACCGCCGUCGCCUGAUUGCUCUCUCCCCGUCAACCCCCCCUCUCUCUCGAUCCAGCGACGCGUGUUUAGAUCGAAGCCCCCUGAAUUCCACGACCGAUCUGAUUCUAUCGAUCGAGGCAGCUCUGUUUCGAUUUGUAUAUGUACUUUUUAGGAGGAGUGUCCCGUGUUUGUUUCUGAUAGCCAUCUAUUUGUUUUAUGCUCAACAGGCCCAUUAGCCCUUGAUCUGGCCCAGGGAGUCUAGCGACCCAGGGAGUCUAGCGGGGAAGAGAGCGGGUGCGACCGAUUGGAUGCACACGACGUGGUUGGCCAUCUGAAUUAGUACCACCUUGAAUAUAUUUUAAAAUUAAAAUUGAAAACGUAAAAUCACGGAAAGAAGCGCAUUGUGACGGUGAAUCCGGAGACCCAAUCCAUGCUUUAUUAUUAGGGAGAGAUUACUAAAGAAAUCCGCCUUAAAAGGCGUUCCACUAAAAACGCAGUAGGAUCCUAUUUCAAGUUCCUUGCACUUAAACCGCAAAAGGGAAAGGCAAUUUUCCUAACUUUUCCCGUUAACGCAGAGCAGUCAGAUGAAUAACAGUAGGAUUGUUCAGUUUGUAUGCUCGUCCACUACUUCGGUUUAUUCAGGUUGCAUGAUACAGUAAUUUUGCAAAUGUGUCAGACUAUCUAUUUAGAUUAGCUAAUAGAAUUUAUUUCCACUAUGUGUUGUGCGGAGGAUAGAUCAGCAGGACUAAACAAUAUGUGUCUAACACCAUUUGCACAAUUCCCUUAAACUGCCCGCAGUAGCUGACCAAGUACCACCAAUGUUGUCAUCAGUCUUGAAGGGGAUUCAAAACCCGGUAGGAUCGCACACCGUAUGGCUUGGACAUCGGAAGAAGAUGCAAGAUUGGUAAUGAGAUUACUUGCCUCAGUGCUCAAUUUAUGAUCCUAUUCAUUUGAACUGAUUUACUUGUUUGUCUCAGCUAAUCUAUCCUCAAACGCAGACAACCAUUUGGUCGAAAACCUCAAAUGUUUCCAUCGAGAUAAUAACAAGAAGAACAUCAAGUACUGGGAUGACAUUGUUGUUACAACAAUAGUAAUAGGCCAAGUCACCGGAAGGGAGAUGCUCGUCGUGUAUGAUGGACAUGGUGGCUCGGAGGUGAGGUUAUCUUCUCUUGAAAAUCUUGACCUAGACAAAAGAAAUUAACCUUGAGGCCAUGGGAAGCAGGAAAGCGAAGGUCACGAAUGGCCGCACAAUUUGGUGGUGUUUGUGUGUUGUGCGGUCAAGCCUUUCUACGGGCUCCAUGGUGAUGCAGCAGCAUCACCUUCUUACGGAGAUGAGAUGAUGGGAUGAGGCCGCAUGGUGUUACCUAUUGUUGUUGUGUUAGCUUUGCUGUGUAUGUGUGCGUGUGAGAGAGAUCAGCGGCUGAUUGGGGAUGGUUAUGUUGUUGCUAGAUUAUAAAACAUGUCGUUUAAGUGAAUAUCAACUGUCGGAAAGAAAGCAAUGGUACUGUGAUUCUACUGUUUUAUGCUAGACGUUAAAGAAUACUACUUGCAAGCAGUUAGCGACGAACUGAGGGUUUGCAAGUAGUACUUUUUCCCAGUUGUGCUUCUACUUGCCUGAAUUUAAGUAGGAGAAAUUACCAGUUGUGUUUUUUUGAAAUAAUCUUGAUUUAACUAUGAUUUUCAGAAACUGGUACAGCUUUAACACGGUUCCUUGCUCACUGUGGUACAUUAAAACAAUAAAUUGAGGAGUUUAGAGCCUGCCUAGAGACCUCACAUAGCACCGCCUCAUUUGGCAGCGACAUCAUGAUGAUCUUGUCUGGUCUACUCCAAGUCUCCGCUUGUGGUUUGUGUUGGAAAUAUGAGCAAUUUACCGAAUGAUUUUAUUAACAAAAAUACUAGAUAAAGCAUGACUAAAAUAGGAAAUAUAAAGAAAGUCAUGCAGUCUGACAGAGAGAAGGUAAACAUCGUCUGCAUAAAUGAACUUGAGCUAAACACAUCUAGAACAGACAAUAGAUGAAGUUGCUCAUACGAAACAGAACCUAACAUACGUAGGGCAGAAACUAGAGCCAAGAACUGUAGCAGGACUUCUAACAGAAAGGAGAAGAACACGUACGGCAUAGCAGCAGCAGAAGAGCUGGACUUGGGGUCAGUGUCCUCGCCUGCCAUGUCGUCGAGGAGGUCGUGGACGUCGGGGAAGAAGUCGUCGUCGGGGAAGUAGUCGUCGGCGACCGGAUCGUCUGUGAUGAAGCAGCCAGUAGUCGCGCUGAGCGCUUCCCAAAAACCUUAUCACCCUUCUCCCGUACAUGACUCAAAAGGUGCGGUCUCUGAGGCCUACUGUCCCAACAUGCGGUGCACGCCGCAAGUCGGGAUGAGGAAGACAGCAGCAGCUCAGAGAUGGAACCGAUGGCGAGGGAAGGAGCAGUUCUGGUGCGUAUCUCUGAAAGGAGCGACCUCCCUUUUAUAGGCGCAAGAGAAGGAGGCGAGAGGCUGCGCCGGGAGCUGAAGGGAAUGUGGGAGACGAAACGAACAAGCAGCAGCUGAAGGGGCGCGCCGUUCGGAUUCAGUGUCCAGGCACAGAAAAAAACUGUUUCAGCUUCCGAGUGACCUUUCGUAUACACGUAGUGCGUGGCAAAACUUUAGACAUCGGCUCAUUCCCGCAACCCGCGGCGUGACGAGGCGGGCGGCGGAGGAGGAGCGCGCGUGGAUGUCCCUCUUGUUCUCAUGCUCAUACAAGUGGGGAAGGAGUCUCCCUUAUAAAGAGGUCCAACUCCCUCUAAACUAGCAAGGUGGGACUAAACUUUAGUUCCACCUCUUACCUUGCAUGAAUGGGCUGCGUGGGCCUCUAGGAUUUAUUAGGAAUUUCUGAAACUGCUAUUGGGCUAGGCCCAAAUAGACAAAAAUUCCAGCAGUUUGUGUUCUUUAGGUCUAUGGAAAACACCACGGUGCAUGCCAUUGUCCGUCAUUUCGGGAAAAAUGACCUAGAACAUGCAGAUAACUAAAUUUGGUGAAAGAACUGAAGAAAUCUACUACAUCACAAUAUGAAUUAAAAACAAACAAAAAAUUGGGCAGGACCUCUACAUAAAAAUGGACAGUUAUAGAAAUUUAGCGAAACGGAAAUAAAUCAACGGUUUGCCAAAAAUUUAACGCUUAUAGUAUGAAUCCCAAUAAGGAAAUGAAGACAUCUACUACAUCACAAUAUGAAUAAAACAUAAACAAAGAAAUUUGGCAUGACCUCUGCAUAAAAAUGGACAUAUUAAGUGAUUGAGAUCUGGCGAAACAGAAAUAAAUCAACGUAUCGCCAAAACUUUAGCACUUAUAGUAAGUAUACCUAUAAUGAAUUGAAGACAUCUACUACAACAUAUUAUUUAACUCAGUAUGAACAGAAAUAAUGUACGGAAUAAUACAAUAUAUAUGUGAGACUAUAUAAUUACCUCUAAUAUGAACAAAUUGGUAUUCCUUGUUCAUGGUUACGUAUGUGGCUGCUGCAACUAUAAUUGUUUUGAUGUGUGUGCCUUAAAAACUAUAGAACAAGAAACUACAACUAUAAAUGAACUCUAGUAUGAACAAAUCGAACUCAUUAACGAAUAUGAACACAUUAAUAGCAAUAACCCUAACCCUAGUCGAACGUACGUGUGCGUGUGCGUGGCGGCCGUGGCCGUGGGUGACAAGGAGGAAAGCCGGAGAGGGAGGCGCGGACGACAAUGUAUUACUGGAUGGAGCGGAGGGUGACGGGGCGGAUCGUCGGUGAGGGCGACGGGGCGGCGAAUCGAGGGCGAGGGAGACGCGCGGUGAACGGCUAGGGCGGCGACGAGUAAGCGGUGCUGAUGGCGGCAGCGGACAGGGACGACGACUUGGGUAGCAUGGAUGAGCCAACGGCGUCCGCGACGAGAUGGGGAAGAGUGGGAGUGAGAGAGUAAAUUGGGGUAGGAGGAGAGGGGGCACGUGCGUGUACGUAGGUCGAUUGAGUUUGUCGUAUGCGACCGGUGUGCCAAGCCUCCCAACACGGCUUCUUUGGGGUGGUGGGCGGAAAACCGAUUCGAUUUGGGGCAGAAUAGACAGCUAACUUAGUUGUGGCGGGUAGGGGCCCAUACCCGCCAGAGCUAAUAUCUGUAUAAAAUUUAUUUUUCUGGCGUGCAUUGCUGGCACUAAACUGUGGCCGGCCCAAUCGAGCGUCCGCCACUUUUGCAUUCAAGAACAAUGGCGGCCGAGGCUAACACCCGCCACUGAUCGCAUUCAUCAGGUGGCCAUACUCAGUGGUGCUUACUUGUGGCGGGUGGUGUUCUCCACCCGCCACUGCUACGCAUGUAACUCUGGAGGUCAUGUUGUGGCACCUGCCACUGGUACUUUUGCUAACUAGCAGUGGCAGGUGCUAUGUCCCGCCCGCCAAUCUUUCGAAUUCACCUAUAAGCCCUUUCCCAGUAGAGUAAUAAAGGACUUCUUGACAAGUCCGUGUAGAUUAAAGGUAUGUUAGUAGAUGGUGUAAUAAAUACAUGCUUUAGUGAUCUAAGGAUACAAAUAUGCCACUAUUUAUUUUGUAAAAGGUCGAAAUCAUUCUUAGAAAUCUUAGUAACAACAGUUCUCAUGAACAACUUUGACAAAAUGCAUCAAAUGUUACAAAUAAUACAUACAAACUUAGUUCAAUAAAUUAAUCAAUUGAAGUGAGAACAAACCUAAAUGUACUUAGAGUAAAUCAAUUAAUACGUGUAAAGCCAAUACUAAUCCAAUAUUUAUUAAUAAAUUUGCAUAGAAUUACAACCCUUUGACAUAGAAAGGGAAUAUGAUGAGUCAUGUAUAGAUAACUUGCACAACAUUCCUACCCUUGGCAUAAAAGGAGAAAUUGAUGAGUCAUGUAUUGAUAAUGUGCACAACAUCACUACCCUUGACAUAAAAGGAGAAUUUGAUGAGUCAUGUGUUGAUAACGUGUACAACAUUACUAUCAGUAUGUUCAACUUACCAUCAUAUUAUACAACACUACAAGUUAGUUUUAAAAAGAACAAGAGUCCAGAACGAAGAUCAGAAUACUUGCUUGAUCUAUCUUAACAACAUGCACUAGGACAAAAAUUUAGUCCCACGCAAGCUAUGAAGAUUUGUUUUAUGUAUAACUAUUUGUACAACAUGACAAACUUAGAUCCAAAAGGAAUGCAAUCCAGAUAAUUGUUUGACAUGUAAAGUGAAUAAGAUGAGUCAAUGCCAAUUAUCAAGUUUUCCUCACUCUUAGAUGAUAUGUACAAUAAAAAGACAACUUUGAUGAUCACUCUGAAAUUACGUUUGUAUGUAGUGCCACCAAACACAACAUCCCAAAUAUUAGUUUGAUAAGCAUCAAAUCACUUUUGAAAAAAGAAAGCAAUAAUGAAAAGAAACCUAACCAAGAUAGCUAUAAAAAGGCCUGCAAUAUGUAGACUCCAUACCAUCAUCCAUCCUUCACACACCUAGAGCACAAAUCAGCAAAUCCAAGUACGUAGUAGUUAACGCAAAUCGACCAUGAAGACCUUACUCAUCCUGACGAUCCUUGCGAUGGCAAUAACCAUCAGCACCGCCAAUAUGCAGGUCGACCCUAGUGGCCAAGUACAAUGGCCACAACAACAACUAGUCCCCCAACCCCAACAGCCAUUAUCCCAGCAACCGCAACAAGCAUUUCCCCAACCCCAACAAACAUUUCCCCAUCAACCACAACAACAAGUUCCCCAGCCUCAGCAACCACAACAACCAUUUCUCCAGCCCCAACAAGCAUUCCCCCAACAACCACAACAACCAUUCCCUCAGACUCAACAACCACAACAACCAUUUCCCCAGCAACCACAACAACCAUUUCCCCAGCAAUCACAACAACCAUUCCCCCAGACUCAACAACCACAACAACCAUUUCCCCAGCAACCACAACAACCAUUCCCCCAGACUCAACAACCACAACAACCAUUUCCCCAGUUCCAGCAACCACACCAACCUUUUCCCCAGCCCCAACAACAAUUCCCGCAGCCCCAACAACCGCAACAAUCAUUCCCCCAGCAACAACGACCGUUCAUUCAGCCAUCUCUACAACAACGUUUGAACCCAUGCAAGAAUAUCCUCUUGCAACAAUGCAAACCUGCGUCAUUGGUGUCAUCCCUCUGGUCGAUAAUCUGGCCACAAAGCGAUUGCCAAGUGAUGCAGCAACAAUGCUGCCAAGAACUAGCACAGAUUCCUCAGCAGCUCCAGUGCGCAGCCAUCCAUAGCGUCGUGCAUUCCAUCAUCGUGCAGCAGCAGCAACAACAACAACAACAACAACAACAACAACAAGGCAUGCAUAUCCUGCUGCCACUAUCUCAACAACAACAGUUGGGUCAAGGUACUCUCGUCCAAGGCCAGGGCAUCAUCCAACCUCAGCAACUAGCUCAAUUGGAGGCGAUCAGGUCAUUGGUGUUGCAAACUCUUCCAACCAUGUGCAACGUGUAUGUCCCACCUGAGUGCUCCAUCAUCAGGGCACCAUUUGCCAGCAUCAGGGCAUCAUCAGGGCACCAUUUGCCAGCAUAGUCGCGGGGAUUGGUGGCCAAUGAAAAAAGCAAGAUCUAUACUAAUAGAUAGAUGGAUCAUCGUUACUUAGCAGAUGCACCAAUCGAUGUAACGAUGACAAAUAAAGUGGCGUGCACCAUCAUGUGUGACCCCGACCAGUGCUAGUUCAAGCUUGGGAAUAAAAGACAAACAGAGUUCUUGUUUGCCAGCAUUGCUUGUCAUUGUUCCAUUCACCAUGUAUUUAGAUGUUCAUCCCUAACCGCAGUUCUAGGCUUACACAUCAACAGCUAGUUGCUUGUGCCGGCAGGUUCCUAUGUAAUCUACCGAUUAAUGGUUGACCUAUUAAUCCAGUUUAUAGGCCGAUUGAUCUAUUAAUUGCUGCUCCCAAACUGACCGACCAGCUAUCAGUUACCAUUUUGCUGAACAUUGCACACAGUAAUAACUCAACGUAUUUUAAUGUCUAGAAGUAAAAGGGCCAUUUUAGCAGCAAAACAAGCGCCUGAUUAGGAACCAUCCAUCACUUUAAAUGUUCACCAAGAUAUUUUUGCGUUGGUGCAAUUUUGAGAUUGGUGGCACCGAAACAUUCCUCAAAGCAAUUCUUUAUGGGACUCCAAAGAGGUGAAAAUAAAGUAAAGUUGCCACAUGGUAAAAUAUAAAUCAUGCGGCGAGCAAGAGAAAAUAUUGAGUUACGAUAGCAAGCGCCAAACAUGCCAUUAAACUCUUCAUAUGGUUUCGUGCAGAGAGGGGGGAUUUAGAGAUGACAAACAAAGCUUAAGUAGCAUCGGUUCUGAUUGUAGAAAUUUCUUUUACCUAUAGAAUAACUCGGUUGUUAUUUCUUUAACAAUGUAGUGUGAUAUUAACUUAUCUCAAUCUAGGAACACAAAGCAAAUAUUACAUGUGCUUCUAUGGAUUCCAAGCAGAUGAGAAAUCAUAUUGUGUAGAAGUUCAUUAGAAGGAUAUAAUAGUUUUGACCUAAACAAAUUUACUAUUGUACUCGUGUCUUAGAAAAUUAAAGCUGAAAAUCAACAUAACCAUUGGACACUUCGAAAGACAAGUGUGGGAAAUAAAUAGUAGGAUGUAAAUUUGAGUAGAGUGUUUGAUCAAAUAUUGAACAAAUAACCCACAAACUACUAAAACUCAUCUAUUAAUUCUACCAUAUAUGAACUGUCACAAUGAUAAAGCUAUGAUUUUUUUGACAAAUAUGUAUCCUAGAACUAAUACAAGUUCAAACAAAUCAGCCACAGAUCCCCGAGCCCAUCCAACCAGAUAGCUGAAACUGAAAGAAGCAUUAGCUUGAUUAGAGCACCUACAGCCUAACUUGACAAAUUUGACCCCAGAAACGCUCGCGGACGCGCCCGGUAGUAACCGGUCACGCCUAAAAUAUUUCAUUCUACAACCAGAUACCUCAAAUUAGAAACCUCAAAUCCAUAUUAUUACAUGCAACAUAAAUCGAUCUUUAAGCAGAGCACGUCCGGUGAUCGAAUGCUCUCCGGAGUGUUGGUCCAGUCACCGGCAAGUUAGAGUAGGGCAUGGGAUACGAGGCGGGUCACGGGACUCGAGGCGCCACCGUCCCCCAUUCCCAACUCUUCUCCAUCGGAACCAGGACGGUGCCGGUGGACGUCAGAUCGAUGAUGGAUCCUUCCUGGGAUGAGCCAUCAACAUCGACCACCACGUGGUUGCGGUGCCCGGACUAGUGCACAAUAUGGGGAGCCGAAAAAUACGACUUUGCCUUCGCAACGACCACCACCGCGAGGGCUGUCGCCGCCUCCCGCACCCGCUGCCUUGCAUGGCAGGAGCGCCGAACUAUGUUUUGCGUCGGGCGGUGCCCAUGGUGUGUCCAUGGCCUCAGCACGCCAAUGGAGGGGCUGUGCGUCUGCCACCCAUUUGAACGCUAGAUGGACCGCACCACCUCUGGUGAGGCAGUGAUGGUACACCUAGCGCCGGAUCCAUGCAUCAUUUGGGCGGACGCAUUGGAUUCCCCGCGGAAGGAGUUCGAGCAUUGCCGUUGCCAUCGGGCAGCCUCCUCCUGAGACCGGCGGAGCGCAAGCUCGAUUGCCAUCUCCUCCUAGGAGCCGCGUGGGAUGAGUUCGGGGUCGACGGAUCUGGAGGUAUAACACUGGGAUCCGCCGCCUGCCAUGCCGAAGAAGGCCAUAAGAUCGUCGGACGGGGGCGGCAGGGAGUGAAGUGAAGUGGCUAGGGUUUGGUCCGGCAAGCGGAUGGGGAGGAAUAUAUGUGGGGUCGGGUGGGCCAGCGUGGAUCGGGACCGACAUGGCGGACGCGCGUGGGCGCCCCAUAUUCUUCCCAGAUUUCGGCUGGAUAUGAGGGGUGUUGGUCAGCUUGGGCGUUGAGGCCCGUCUAGGUCAUUUUUCUGUGACCUGGCCGUCCGCCGGGGUGUUUGAAGUGGGUUUGGGACACCCGGGUGUAAAUGCUCUUAGACCAUGUAGUACCUUGAGGAGGAUGGUGUGGGUCCAUGAAAGAACUACAGCCUUUCCAUUAUGUUCGGGCGCAGGGCGAUAACGAAGUUAUCUUUACUCCUACAAGGGGAGUUGUUAGUCUCCGUUCCAUGGGUUUUUUUGUCUCACCUCCCAUCUUCGUUUCAUUUUUUCCGUCUCUCUUUCACACCGUCGGGUGGAGCUUAUGUGUCAUACUCCGUGACCUUUCAUUAGUUUUCUAGAGAGAAUCCUACUCUCAUAGAUUGCGACGUUUAACAAUCAGACUCAUAUAGGUGUGUUCUUCAAAAGAUGUUCUGCAGGACAACAUCUCUCCUUCAAAAAGCCACUUAGAACACAUUAAGAUAUACAUCAACCUACCAUGCAGAUUAGGAGAGUAUUGCAUCUUCAUGGAGUGGUAUUUUAACAAUAAGGAUACACUACUAGGGAAAAGGCUAGCAGCAGCGCGGGUUUUUGGUGUAUCAGUAGCGCGGGGUGGGGCGCUACUAAUAAGGCGCUACAGCUAACAUAUAGCAGUAGCGCGUGGUCACCGGCGCUACUGCUACACAAGUGUAGCAGCAGCGCGGUUACUGGGAGCACGCUACUGCUAGUAGCUCUAGCGCCCUUUGCAGCAACGCGCUACUGCUAUAGAGGCGCUGCUGCUAACUUCUAUACACUCGCUACUGCUAAUUUAACAGGUUUUUUGUUUUUUUGGGCAUAUUUGUUUUGUAUUUGAACAGGCUUUAUAGAAGAAUCUUUAGCACAUAGAAAUGUCAUCAUGAUACACAUACAAAUGCCUGCGAGACCACGAAUAUAAUCAUAGCAUAUACAUACAAAUAGUCUCAUCAUAAUCAUCAUCCAACACAAAGUGGUCUCUCGUCAUCAUCUCGAAAAUAGCGAUACAAGUCCUUGAUUACUUGCAAAUACAUUGUCAUCCAUCUAAACAAUGGUAUACGCGAGAAGAGCUAUCACUUUGAGAACAUGAGUUCGUAUCCCUCUCUCGCAUUAGCGUGAACCUAAACUAACUACUGCCUGUCGCUCGGAAACCGGAAACCGGCAACACCUGGGUCUGACACUCCGGUCACUCAUCGUAUAUAUACUCCUGGCGUAGCACUUCUUCGCCAUCGAUGAUCUAUGCACCUGCAUCAUCACAUGAGUAGAUGAUAUGCAACAUAUAUAGUUGAGCAACAGAAAGAGACAGACUUGACAAAAAUAGAAACAACGUAUCAUAAGCAUAAAUAACAAAGUUCAUCAUAACCAAAAUGCCCUAACUAGAGUGAUCUUCGCUAGUCGAGGAGGAGGACGGUUUAAUUACAUCACAAAUAAAGUUUUACUGCGCAUAACUCAAAGUUUUGUCAUACAGAAAGUAUGGAGUAAACAGACACAUUGUCAUAUAUUGACAAUCACUCCAACAUGCCGUGCCAUCCAUCGAGGUCAGGGAGAUAGUCCCCGAGCUUAGUGAAAGGCUUCAUGUCGAGACGCUGAGAGGCUAUCCAUGUUCGGACGUCUUCCCACAACAUUUUUCCUCCGUAGAACAUCCCUGUUUUUCCGACGACCUCUUUCAUGAUGAUUUGGGCAAGUUCGCGUUGGAUGUUAUAGAACUCAGCUCGAAGUCGAUGAUCCUCGAUAUCUCCUAUGUCCUUUGCCCAUUGCAGAAUAUGGGCAUCGCCAGAUCUAGGUGACAUGUGAAGGUUCUGGUGAUCCCGUUUGUACUCCCGCAUGUGGUGUAGGACAUAGAAUCCACCAUUAAGAGAAUCGUUCGGUUGUUGGAUGCAGCAGAAGUCGGUCUUAUGGCUGAAGGCGGCCCUGCCGCCCCUUCUCUUCUUGUCCCUAACCUCUCCACCCCUUGCUUGGUAGUAAAACAUAGCACUGUCGAGAACAUCUUUGAUGUGGGUGUAAUCCUUUUUGUGAAUGUUAUUCGAUGAGUCCAAGUAAAGAGCAUGGGAGAAUCGGGGGUAGAGGAUGAUGAGGACGGCGCGCCCGCCGCUGCGCAAAAUAAGUACACCUCAAAUUAAUUAGCCUUCACCGUGCAAAUGAAUUAUUGAAAUCGAAGGAAGGAUAGCAGCGCGGAUGACUUACACGGGAUGAUAAGGCACGAGAAUCGCCUCCUUGUCCUUAUUGGCGAGCAUGAAACUAACGAUGUAAUUCCUCGCGUAUUCACGCUGCUCUGCACAGACUCCCAAGAAGCUCUCGUGCAUGUAGUACGGGUCAGUGACACAGAUAUGACGUAUCUGCUCAACCCCAAUGAUGUAGUUCAUGUGCAAGGCAUAAAGGCGGACAAAUGUAAAAUCCAGCUUCUUCACGUGAAACAUGUCGAAUAUGUAAUCGAAUCGGAGGAAGAACUUAUCCGCAGCGAAGCUGUCGACGUAUGACAUUUUCCGCGGAACGUUAUCCACGUAGAGUGGGUAUCCUGGAUCUUUCGAGGCAAUGAGGCAUUUCUCUACCCGUAGCACAUCAUCAUGAAGUCUCCUUAGAUCGCCGAAUCUGGCCCGUAGCGCUGUUGCAGGUAGGAUUGGUUGACCGGGGAUAUGCCAUUUAUCCGCAUCGGGGAUAUCUAGACGGUCCUGAAGCUGAGGCUGCUGAGGCGGCUGGAUCAUAGAAUCAACUUUUUUUCCUUUCCUCGCUCUCUUCCUAGACUUCUUUACUACCGGAAAGUCGUCAAUAACACAUUGAGACGGUAAUUCAGGCACCGACUCAUGAUGCUCAAACCCUGAGGAGGCGCCAGUAUAGACAUACUGUUCAGCGCCAUCGUCAUCCUCAUCCUCAUCCAUGGCGACGUCAUCAGCGACUAAUGGAGCCUCCUCCUUACCCCGUCCGCUAUCACCCAACCCGACACCCAACGCUAAUUGGGUAGGUGGGGUGUUGAUGUUCAUACCUUGCUGAGACUGCGUGCUCGUGGGUGUGCUCCCGGCCGCCUCCAGACGAAGCAGACUCUUUGGCCACAACAGGACCUACCCAUUGCAACAAUCACCAAGCCGCUGCGGUGUCUCCUCGUCAUCCACCAAUAGUGUUGGAGGAGGCAAAUUCUCGUGGCCCGGUUCGACACUGGCCAUGGAAACCUUGAAGACGUUUGGGGGAAUCGGCCGGCUGUGGAACAAUGGUUCCUUCGGCUUCAUUAUCGUCGCCUUCCCCAUGGCCACCUUCUGGUCCCCGAUGGUGUACAAUAUGGUGCGCGGGGUUUCGUCGGCCUGCAAAGAGAAGUCUGCGACGUGAGACAUUCGAAAGGCAACGAAAACGGGAGAUUAUACAUUUAUAUUGAAGGGGGCCGGUGUGACAGAUACCGUGAGGGCGUCGAGCUCAGCCAAAGACAAAGCACCGCCGAGCACGUCCGGUGCGGGAGCCGGUGCGGGAGCAGGUGCUCCCAAGAAGUCAGCAAGGGGAAAGUCCUCUGCAUUUUUUUCUGGAUUUUUCCUUGUCCAAGUGAUAACGCCCGUCACCAAGGAAGUAGACAAAUCUGCAACCGCCUGUUUUGCGGCAGCUACCGCUGUUGCGACUGUCUGAGAUGAUUUCUUCUCAACCGCAAUCUCAACCUUCUUGUCGAUGUUUUUUUCAGUUAACCUCCGUCUUUCCUUUCUCUCCUCUGUGGUCUCCCGGUAGUACUUCUUCCACGUGGCGCCGUCUCCGACACCGUGCACGCGUCCAUACGAUGGUCGAGUAUCCAUCGGUUGUCGUUUCAAUAUGUUCAACGUCCGGUUGAAUGGAGUGUCCCACUUGGGCCUCGCCAAUGCCUCAGACGGCGAGUCGUUUUCGACCGCAAUCCGGUGCUGCUCUCUCUGCAAAAGGCACAAGGAUCGUUUACAAAUAUGACUAACGUGUGCAGUCGAAUUGAUCAGAAACUAAAAUUACCAGCAGUCUCAUGAACUCCGUAAUGACCGGUGUUGUCUCAUAAACCUUCUUCACUGGGUCCCAACGGUGCCGAGCCCUCAGGACGUCACGCUCCUGCGGGACAGUGAAAUCCGCCAAGGGGUCUGGGAUGCCCAGACUCGCGGCUUCCGCGUCCUCCUUGGCCCAUUUGGACCUCUUUCCGCCGUAACCACGCUUCCGAGGUGGUGGCUCCCAAUGUUCCUCUUUUGAAGCCCCUUCAUGUACUUAGACUUUUUUUGGCAGCUUCGGCCUCGCAAGCCUCCUUGAAUAUUUGAAACUGCUCUUCCGUGAUUGUCAGAUUAUCCUUUACAAUCUCGGAGUAGGGUUCCCCGUCGUUGAUCUUUGCUUUCACUCAAUUUUUCCAGGCGGCCAACGCGUCGCUAAACUUGGUCAUGGCGUGUUUGUUUAUCUUCUUCAUUGCGGGGUCCUCGUCUGGAUCUUCAUAAUCCUUCUCAUUCCGGCCCGGGAACAAGAAUAUCUGGUGAAACUUCUUUAGAAGGGAGCUCCUCAUAUUUUCUAUCUUCUAUAGUUUCUCAUCAUUGAUGGUGGCGGUUGUCCGUAUGAUGCAGCCUAUUUGAUUGCCGUAGCACGCGCGCGCUUCCUCGGGCGCCUUUGGCUCAAAAUUGCCGUCGUCCACCUCUGUGACCACCAGUCUAGUAGUCCUGAGUUUGUUAGGAACCCGUUGCUUCUUUGCGUUCGGUUCUACACCAGCUCCGCUCCCCGAGACAGCACCGGUCUCAGCGCCGCUCUCGAUGCCGGUCUGAAUCUCAGCGCCGGUCUCAGUCUCAGCACCGGUCUGCGUGUCGGUCUCAGUCCCCGAUGCCACUGGUGGGCCCAGCAACAACAUCGGUUGAUCGUCGGUAAGGCUAAAAUAUUCAUCUGCCACCAGGUAGACGUCGUCGCAAUCACCAGAACCCUGUCCUUCAUCGUUGCUAGCCAUGUUUCCUAUCAUUAAAUCUAGUCAAUUAAUUCUAGACCUAAUAAAAUGAAUAAUGACAUAAAAAAGGACUAUUGUUUUGCAGGAAUGUUGACUCCUUCCUGGUGCGGAAAAUCCCGGCACUCGAUAUGUCCUAGUUUGUAGCACAAGUCAUGCCGAAAUUCACGGAAAAUUUUGGCAUGGCCUUUGCUAAAAAGUGGACAAAUCGAGAACCUGAAAUUUGUCGGAACAGAAAUGAAUCAACAUUCCGGCAAAACAUAGGCCACUCAGCAUCAUUCCCUGGAAACAACAAAGCCACUUGGGCACAAUCGAACAACUUCAAUGAAAAGAUAUAACAUGAGCAAACACUAUUGAGGAAUUUGCAUAUAACAUGGCCACUUCAAUGAAAAGAUAUAAUCAACAAUAACGGAAUAUGCAAAUGAACAUCAAUGACAUAUAGCUACUGUUCUGUUUGACCAAGUUUUUGAAAAGAAAAACAAUUCUGUUUUUUGUUUAUAGCUAAAUGCCAUAGCUACUAUUUUUUAUUUAUAGCUAAAUACUUUUGUUUUUUGUCUAAAGCUAAAAGUCUAGGAACUACAUUUUCUCUAACCCUUUUGACCUCACCAGAAUUUUCACAGCAAGACCUUAGUACCUACACCCAAUUUCUUCAAAAAUAUUCAGGUCCAUAGUCCAAAUAAUUCAAAUUUCAUUUGAAUGAAAUUUGGAACAAAUUCAGGUCCGUAGUCAAAAUAUUUUUUUAUAGCUAAGUGUUUUUUGUUUAUACCCUCUGUUAAUUUAAAUCUAAAUGCUACUAUUAUUUAUAUACCCUCUAUUAGUUUAAAGCUAAAUGGAAUUACUGUUUAGGAAUUUUCAUAAAAAUUGCCCUAGCUAAUUUCCUAAAAAAAUUGCAAAUCAUUUUUCCUAAAUGCUAUAAAAUGCCUACUGCCCUAAAAAAAUCUAGGGUUCAUAUGAACACCUAGGGUUCAUAUGAACAUCAACACAGUAUCAACAUAUAUAUAUAUAAUUGCCCUAGCAGAGAGAAAUAGGAGGGUAGGGACAGGAGAGGCAUAGCCUUACGGUCGGCGUUGAGGGCAGGCUCUGGCUCGGGCAGCGGCGGUGAGGUCAAGGGCGGCGGCGGCGAGCUCGAGGGAGGCGACAGUGAGGUCGACGGUGACAGCCUCGGGUGGCGGCUGUGAGGUCGAGGGGGCGGCCUCGGGCGGCGGCCUCGGGCGGCGGCAGUGUGGUCAAAGGCGGCGGGCGGCGGCGGUGUGGUCGAAGGCGGCCUCCGGCGGUGGCGGUGUGGUCGAAGGCGCGCGGCAGGGCAACGGCGGCGAUGAAGCAGUUGGGGGACAGGGGGGAGUAGAGAGGGGGGAAAGGACUUAGCAAAAUUUUGAGCCAGGGCCGCCGGGAUUUGAGUCAAACUAGCAGCAGCGCGUUUUGACGAAACGCGCUAUAGCUAAGAUAGCUAUAGCGUGUUCCAGAGAAAUGCGCUACAGCUAACCCUUUCUGUUUUCUUUCUCUUUUUAUUUUGUUUUCUUUACAUUUUCUUUUUUUCAUUUCUCCUUUUUCUAUUUCUUUCAUUUUCAUUUACUUUUCUACUUAAUUUUCUAUUUAUUUUCCUUUACAUAGCAGUAGCGCUGUAAAGAAGAAACGCGCUGCUACAAUGUUUUUAACAGUAGCGUGCUUCUGGGAGAAGCGCUGCUACUAUUCCUAGCCUACCGGCACCAGUGAGAGAAUUUUAGUAGUAGCGCUUUUUUGUGGAGAAGCGCUACUACUAAAAUAAUGAUUGUAGCGUGGUUUUGCAACAAGCGCUACUACUAAGUAGCGCUAGCGCCGAGUUUUGACCAACGCUACUGCUAUACCUCUGUGUAUAGCAUUUUCCCUAGUAGUGAUACUCUCCUCUCAGUUGACCAACAGCUUGUCUUCCACAUCUAAUUCACGGGAUCUCCGAUCACAAAGAAUGGGUUACCACUGUGGACACCUCAUAUUGUGGGUCUCAUUCCCAUCUCCAUCGAUGCAUUAUCUAUCACAUUACGUGAUAGACCCUUAGUAAAAGGAUCUGCCAGAUUUUUAGACGUUUGGAUAUAAUCCAAUGCAAUAACUCUCGAGUUUUUCAUUUUUCUGACAGACUUUAACCUUCUCUGAACGUGUCUUGAUGACUUCAUGUUAUCCUUUGAGCUGCUCACUUUAGUGAUCACAGUUUGAUUGUCACAGUUCAUCCGGAUACCCGGUACAGGUUUCUCAACUACCGGUAAGUCAUUCAAGAGCCGACGAAGCCAAUCUGCUUCGACCGUAGUUGUAUCUAGUGCUGUGAGUUCUGCUUCCAUUGUUGACCUCGUUAAAAUGGUCUGCUUGCAAGACUUCCAAGAAACAGCGCCACCUCCAUGAGUGAAUACAUAACCGCUCGUGGCCUUUAUCUCAUCAACAUCUGAGAUCCAGUCUGAGUCAAUAUACCCUUCAAGCACCUUUGGAUGCCUAGUGUAGUGAAUUCCAUAAUUUGCAGUGCUUUCAAAUAACGCAAAACUCUCUCUAGAGCUUUCCAAUGCACAUCUCCUGGUUUUGAGACAAACCGGCUCAGUUAGCUAACAGCAAAAGAGAUGUCAGGUCUCGUAGCACUGGCUAAGUACAUAAGCGAGCCAAUAAUGUGUGAAUAUUCCAAUUGGUCUCUAGCAAUUCUUCGAUUCUUUCGAAGCAACACACUAGCAUCAUAUGGUCUUGGAGAGGGCUUGCAGUCACUGUAGCCAAAGCGACUCAAGAUCUUUUCCCCAUAGUGAGACGGAAGCAAUGUAAUCCCACCAUCAUCAUCUCUCAACAACUUGAUGUUCAGAAUGACGUCAGCCACUCCUAAAUCCUUCUUCUCAAAACAGCGAGAUAGGAAAUCCUUGACCUCCUUAAGAACAUUUAGAUUUGUUCCGAAAAUCAGUAUGUCAUCAACAUACAAGCAAAGCAUAACUCCCUCGCCCCCACCAUGGCGAUAGUACACACAUUUGUUAGCUUCGUUCACAACAAAGCCUGCAGCUGUUAAAGUUCUUUCGAACUUCUCAUGCCACUGUUUGGGUGCUUGCUUGAGUCCAUACAAAGACUUCAGCAACUUGCACACUUUCCCUUCCUAACCAUCUAUUACAAACCCAUCUGGUUGUUCCAUAUAAAUUUCCUCAUCCAACUCUCCAUUUAGGAAAGCAGUCUUAACAUCCAUUUGAUGAACGAGAAGACCAUGUGAGGCAGCUAGUGAAAGUUUAACUCGAAUAGUGGUCAGUCGAGCCACAGGUGAGUAAGUAUCAAAGAAGUCUUCACCUUCCUUUUAGGUAUAACCCUUUGCCACGAGCUGAGCCUUGUACUUUUCAAUAGUACCAUCAGGCCUAAGUUUCUUCUUGAAUACCCAUUUGCAUCCUAUAGGUUUGCACCAUAAGGACGAUCAGUUAUCUCCCAAGUUUCAUCCGCCAAGAUGGAAUCCAUCUCGCUACGAACCGCUUCCUUCCAGUAGUCAGCAUCUUCCGAUGCAUAGGCCUCCAAAAUAGAACUGGGAGUGUCAUCUAUGAGAUACACAAGAAAAUCAUCACCCAAGGACUUUGCUGUCCUCUGUCUCUUACUCCUAGUAGGAACUUCAUUGUUCUCCUCCACAGGCCUUUCAAAGUGUUCCAUCGAAAUGGCAGGUUCAGUAAUUGUAACUGGUUCCUGAUUCGAUGAACUAGGCAUCUCCUGAUUAGAUGAGGUAGCCAUAUCCUUCAUGGGAAAGAUAUCUUCAAAGAAAGUCGCAUCAUUCGACUCCAUGAUCGUACUGACAUGCAUGUCAGAUACCUCAGAUUUUACAACCAAGAAUAUAUAGCCAAUGCUAUGAAAAGCAUAUCCCAGGAAAACACAAUCCACAGUCUUUGGUCCAAGCUUCCGCUUCUUUGGAAUUGGAACAUUGACUUUCGCCAAGCAACCCCAUGUUCGCAGAUAAGAGAGUCUUAACCUUUUCUUCUCCCAUUCCUCGAAUGGAGUUAUCUCUUUGUUCUUUGUGGGAACUCGAUUUAGGACAUGACAUGCUGUCAAUAUCGUCUCCCCCCACCAUGCCUUGGAGAGACCCGAUGUGCAUAACAUGGCGUUAACGAAAUCAGUUAGAGUACGGUUCUUUCUUUCGGCCACCCCAUUUGACUGAGGUGAGUAGGGAGGCGUCCUCUCAUGGAUUAUACCAUGUUCCGCACAAAAAGCAUCAAAUUCAUUGGAAAAAUACUCUCCACCACGGUCAGACCUAAGCCUCUUGAUUUUUCGAUCAAGUUGGUUUUCCACUUCAGCUUUAUAGAUCUUGAAAAAGUUCAAAGCCUCAUCCUUAGAUUUCAGAAGAUACACAUGGCAGUAUCUAGUGGAGUCGUCAAUUAACGUCAUGAAAUAUUUCUUUCCACCUUUUGUCAAAACACCAUUCAUUUCACAUAGAUCUGAAUGUAUAAGUUCUAGUGGUGCAAGAUUUCUCGUCUCCGCAGUCACGUGAGACUUACGAGGUUGCUUAGCUUGCACACACACUUGACACUUAGAUCCUUGACAGUGGUGAAACUAGGGAUUAAGUUCAACUUCGCUAGUCGCGACAUGCAACCAAAGUUAACAUGACAAAGACGUGAAUGCCACACAUUUGAUUCACUAUUGUUGCAAAUAUGAUUAACAACUUUAUUGCAAAUGUCUGAUAAGGAUAAACGAAACAGGCCUCCUGACUCAUAGCCUUUACCAACAAAGGUCCCAUACUUGGAUAUUACAAAUUUAUUCGACUCAAAGACAAGCUUAUAGCCAUCUCUACACAGAAGAGAUCCGCUAACAAGAUUUUUAUUGACGGAGGGGACAUAAUGCACGUUCUUCAGCCGCACGAUCUUCCCUGAAGUAAACUUCAGAUCAACCAUGCCAACACCACGAACAGAAGCACUUGAACUGUUGCCCAUCAGCACGGUUGAAGUCCCUGCGGUCUGAUAAGAUGAAAACAUGGAAAUAUCACCGUAUACAUGCACAUUAGCACCCAUGUCAAUCAACCAACCAGGAGAAUGACAUACUGAAAGAAUAGUGGGAAAUAUACCAUACCCAACAUCUUUCAUGUCAAUGUCUCCGAUGACAACAUUAGCGGUCUUGCCGCCUUUCCCAGGAUGACGCUUGUCAUAGCGAUUAGGACAACUAGGAGCCCAAUGAUCAGGAUCUCCAAACACAUGACAAGCACCUUUCUUAUUGUCAUUCUUCUUCUUGAAGUUCAUGUGCUGCACAGCCUUGUUCUUCCCAUCGAACUUUGCUUUACCAUCAAACUUGCCCUUGUUCUUGAACUUGUGGGACUGGAAGUUCUUCUUCUGUACCAGAUUGGCACUAGAUCCUCCCUCAAUACCUCGAGCACAUGUGUCCUUUGCUCUCGCCUUUUCUUCCACAUAAGAGUACCAAUGAGAUCCGGGAUGGAAAACUCCUGUCUCUUAUGCUUCAGUGAGGUAGCAAAGUUCCUCCAUGAAGGAGGAAGCUUAGUGAUGAUACCCCCGGCAACAAACUUGUCCGGUAAGAUACAAUUGAAGUGCUCAAGUUCUCUAGCAAAAGACUGUAUCUCAUGAGCCUGCUCAACCACGGAGCGCUCUUCAGUCAUCCUGUAAUCAUAGAAUUAUUCCAUGAUGUACAGCUCAGUGCCGGCAUCCGAGACCCCAAACUUGGCCUCGAGUGUGUCCCACAUAUCUUUUCAUUGUCAAUUGACGCAUAAGCAUCAACUAUGUUCUCACCAAGAACACUCAAAAGAGCAGCCUUAAACAAGGUAUCCAUUUUCUGGAAAGCUUGUGCCUGUUGGGCAUCUUGCUCUCCUUCGGGUUUGCCAAGAGUGGCAUCAUAGAAACUCAUGGUUUGAAACCAUAAGACUGCUCUCACACGCCACUUCUUAUAGUGGAUACCCUCAAACAUAGGAGGUCUCAUGGAAGCAGCAAAAUCACUCGGGGUAAAUUGCCUAUAAUAAGGUUUUUGGAUUGUUGGAAAUAUGAGCAAUUUACCGAAUGAUUUUAUUAACAAAAAUACUAGAUAAAGCAUGACUAAAAUAGCAAAUAUAAAGCAAGUCAUGCAGUCUGACAGAGAGAAGGUAAACAUCGUCUGCAUAUAUGAACUUGAGCUAAACACAGCUAGAACAGACACUAGAUGAAGUUGCUUAUACGAAACAGAACCUAACAUACGUAGGGCAGAAACUAGAGCCAAGAACUAUAGCAGGACUUCUAACAGAAAGGAGAAGAACACGUACGGCACAGCAGCAGCAGAAGCGCUGGACUUGGGGUUGGUGUCCUUGCCUGCCAUGUCAUCGAGGAGGUCAUGGACGUCAGGGAAGAAGUCGUCGUCGGGGAAGUAGUCGUUGGCGACCGGAUCGUCUGUGAUGAAGCAGCCAGUAGUCGCACUAAGUGCUCCCCAAAAACCUUAUCACCCUUCUCCCGUACAGGACUCAAAAGGUGCGGUCGCGAAAGCCUACUGUCCCGACGUGCGGUGCACGCCACAAGUCGGGAUGAGGAAGACAGCAGCAGCUCAGAGAUGGAACCGAUGGCGAGGGAAGGAGCAGUUCUGGUGCGUCUCUCUGAGAGGAGCGACCUCCCUUUUAUAGGCGCAAGAGAAGGAGGCGAGAGGCUGCGCCGGGAGCUGAAGGGAAUGCGGGAGACGAAACAAACAGGCAGCAGCCGAAGGGGCGCGCCGUUCGGAUUCAGUGUCCAGGCACAGAAAAAAAAUGUUUCAGCUUCCGAGUGACCUUUCGUAUACCCGUAGUGCGUGGCAAAAAUUUAGACAUCGGCUCGGCUCAUUCCCGCAACCCGCGGCGCGGCGCAUCGUGAUGAGGCGUGGUGAGGCGGGCGGCGGAGGAGGAGCACGCGUGGAUGUCCCUCUUGUUCUCAUGCUCAUACAAGUGGGGAAGGAGCCUCCCUUAUAAAGAGGUCCAACUCCCUCUAAACUAGCAAGGUGGGACUAAACUUUAGUUCCACCUCUUGCCUUGCACGAAUGGGCUGCGUGGGCCUCUAGGAUUUAUUAGGAAUUUCUAAAAUUGCUAUUGGGCUAGGCCCAAAUAGACAAAAAUUCCAGCAAUCCCCCACCAGAUCCCAGAGGCACACAAAAUUUGCCUUUGGUUCCAAAACACUGUUUUAUAUACUGGUACAGCAGUGGAGACUGUUAAGUUGAACUUCCACCUAGAACCCUAUGCUACACUAGUAAGCAACUUGAACAGUGGACUGGGCCUUGAACUGCAAGUUUUCUGCAAAUCUAGCUUCACAUAAGGCCUUGACCGAUACGUGGCUACCGUGGGUCUUCCCCGUGGGUGGAGCUUAUGCGUCAUACUCCGUGACCUUUCAUUAGUUUACUAGAGAGAACCCUACUCUCAUAGAUUGCGACGUUUAACAAUCAGACUCAUAUAGGUGCGUUCUUCAAAAGAUGUUCUGCAGGACAACAUCUCUGCUUCAAAAAGCCACUUAGAACACAUUAAGAUAUAAAUCAACCUGCCAUGCAGAUUAGGAGAGUAUUGCAUCUUCAUGGAGUGGUAUUUUAACAGUAUGGAUACUCUCCUCUCAGUUGACCAACAACUUGUCUUCCACAUCUAAUUCACGGGAUCUCCGAUCAUAAAGAAUAGGUUACCACUAUGAACAACUCAUAUUGUGGGUCUCAUUCCCAUCUCCCUCGAUGCAUUAUCUAUCACAUUACGUGAUAGACCGUUAGUAAAAGGAUCUGCCAGAUUUUUAGACGUUUGGAUAGAAUCCAAUGCAAUAACUCUGGAGUUUUUCAUUUUUCUGACAGACUUUAACCUUCUCUGAACGUGUCUUGAUGACUUCAUGUUAUCCUUUGAGUUGCUCACUUUAGUGAUCACAGUUUGAUUGUCACAGUUCAUCCGGAUACCCGGUAUAGGUUUCUCAACUACCGGUAAGUCAUUCAAGAGCCGACGAAGCCAAUCUGCUUCGACCGUACCUGUAUCUAGUGUUGUGAGUUCUGCUUCCAUUGUUGACCUCGUUAAGAUGGUCUGCUUGCAAGACUUCCAAGAAACAGCGCCACCUCCAUGAGUGAAUACAUAACCGCUCGUGGCCUUUAUCUCAUCAGCAUCUGAGAUCCAGUUUGAGUCACUAUACCCUUCAAGCACCUUUGGAUGCCAAGUGUAGUGAAUUCCAUAAUUUGCAGUGCCUUUUAAAUAACGCAAAACUCUCUCUAGAGCUUUCCAAUGCACAUCUCCUGGUUUUGAGACAAACCGGCUUAGUUAGCUAACAGCAAAAGAGAUGUCAGGUCUCGUAGCACUGGCUAAGUACAUAAGCGAGCCAAUAAUCUGUGAAUAUUUCAAUUGGUCUCUAGUGAUUCUUCGAUUCUUUCGAAGCAACACACUAGCAUCAUAUGGUGUUGGAGAGGGCUUGCAGUCACUGUAGCCAAAGCGGCUCAAGAUCUUUUCCACAUAGUGAGAUUGAAGCAAUGUAAUCCCACAAUCAUCAUCUCUCAAAAACUUGAUGUUCAGAAUGACAUCAGCCACUCCUAAAUCCUUCAUCUCAAAACAGCAAGAUAGGAAAUCCUUGACCUCCUUAAGAACAUUCAGAUCUGUUCCGAAAAUCAGUAUGUCAUCAACAUACAAGCAAAGCAUAACUCCCUUGCCCCCACCAUGGCGAUAGUACACACAUUUGUCAGCUUCGUUCACAACAAAGCCUGCAGCUAUUAAAGUUCUUUCGAACUUCUCAUGCCACUGUUUGGGUGCUUGCUUGAGUCCAUACAAAGACUUCAGCAACUUGCACACUUUCCCUUCCUGGCCAUCUAUUACAAACCCCUCUGGUUGUUCCAUAUAAAUUUCCUCAUCCAAAUCUCCAUUUAGGAAAGCAGUCUUAACAUCCAUUUGAUGAACGAGAAGACCAUGUGAGGCAGCUAGUGAAAGUAGACCUCGAAUAGUGGUCAGUCGAGCCACAGGUGAGUAAGUAUCAAAGAAGUCUUCACCUUCCUUUUGGUUAUAACCCUUUGCCACGAGCCGAGCCUUGUACUUUUCAUUAGUACCAUCAGGCCUAAGUUUCUUCUUGAAUACCCAUUUGCAUCCUAUAGGUUUGCACCCAUAAGGACGAUCAGUUAUCUCCCAAGUUUCAUUCGCCAAGAUGGAAUCCAUCUCGCUACGAAUCGCUUCCUUCCAGUAGUCAGCAUCUUCCGAUGCAUAGGCAUCCGAAAUAGAACUGGGAGUGUCAUCUAUGAGAUACACAAGAAAAUCAUCACCAAAGGACUUUGCUGUCCUCUGUCUCUUGCUCCUAGUAGGAACUUCAUUGUUCUCCUCCGCAGGACUUUCAAAGUGUUCCAUCGAAAUGGCAGGUUCAGUAAUUGUAACUGGUUCCUGAUUCGAUGAACUAGGCAUCUCCUAAUUAGAUGAGGUAGCCAUAUCCUUCAUGGGAAUGAUAUCUUCAAAGAAAGUCGCAUCAUUCGACUCCAUGAUCGUACCGACAUGCAUGUCAGAUACCUCAGAUUUUACAACCAAGAAUCUAUAGCCAAUGCUGUGAAAAGCAUAUCCCAGGAAAACACAAUCCACAGUCUUUGGUCCAAGCUUCCGCUUCUUUGGAAUUGGAACAUUGACUUUCGCCAAGCAACCGCAUGUUCGCAGAUAAGAGAGUUUUAACCUUUUCUUCUCCCAUUCCUCGAAUGGAGUUAUCUCUUUGUUCUUUGUGGGGACUCGAUUUAGGACAUGACAUGCUGUCAAUAUCGCCUCCCCCCACCAUGCCUUGGAGAGACCCGAUGUGGCGUUAACCAAAUCAGUUAGAGUACGGUUCUUUCUUUCGGCCACCCCAUUUGACUGAGGUGAGUAGGGAGGCGUCCCCUCAUGGAUUAUACCAUGUUCUGCACAAAAAGCAUCAAAUUCAUUGGAAAAAUACUCUCCACCACGGUCAGACCUAAGCCUCUUGAUUUUUCGAUCAAGUUGGUUUUCCACUUCAGCUUUAUAGAUCUUGAAAAAGUUCAAAGCCUCAUCCUUACAUUUCAGAAGAUACACAUGGCAGUAUCUAGUGGAGUCAUUAAUUAACGUCAUGCAAUAUUUCUUUCCACCUUUUGUCAAAACACCAUUCAUUUCACAUAGAUCUGAAUGUAUAAGUUCUAGUGGUGCAAGAUUUCUCGUCUCCGUAGUCACGUGAGACUUACGAGGUUGCUUAGCUUGCACACACACUUGACACUUAGAUCCUUGACAGUGGUGAAACUAGGGAUUAAGUUCAACUUCGCUAGUCGCGACAUGCAACCAAAGUUAACAUGACAAAGACGUGAAUGCCACACAUUUGAUUCACUAUUGUUGCAAAUAUGAUUAACAACUUUAUUGCAAACGUCUGAUAAGGAUAAACGAAACAGGCCUCCUGACUCAUAGCCUUUACCAACAAAGGUCCCAUACUUGGAUAUUACAAAUUUAUUCGACUCAAAGACAAGCUUAUAGCCAUCUCUACACAGAAGAGAUCCGCUAACAAGAUUUUUAUUGACGGAGGGGACAUAAUGCACGUUCUUCAGCCGCACGAUCUUCCCUGAAGUAAACUUCAGAUCAACCAUGCCAACACCACGAACAGAAGCACUUGAACUGUUGCCCAUCAGCACGGUUGAAGUCCCUGCGGUCUGAUAAGAUGAAAACAUGGAAAUAUCACCGCAUACAUGCACAUUAGCACCCAUGUCAAUCAACCAACCAGGAGAAUGACAUACUGAAAGAAUAGUGGGAAAUAUACCAUACCCAGCAUCUUUCAUGUCAAUGUCUCCGAUGACAACAUUAGCGGUCUUGCCGCCUUUCCCAGGAUGACGCUUGUCAUAGCGAUUAGGACAACUAGGAGCCCAAUGAUCAGGAUCUCCAAACACAUGACAAGCACCUUUCUUAUUGUCAUUCUUCUUCUUGAAGUUCAUGUGCUGCACAGCCUUGUUCUUCCCAUCGAACUUUGCUUUACCAUCAAACUUGCCCUUGUUCUUGAACUUGUGGGACUGGAAGUUCUUCUUCUGUACCAGAUUGGCACUAGAUCCUCCCUCAAUACCUCGAGCACGUGUGUCCUUUGCUCUCGCCUUUUCUUCCACAUAAGAGUACCAAUGAGAUCCGGGAUGGAAAACUCCUGUCUCUUAUGCUUCAGUAAGGUAGCAAAGUUCCUCCAUGAAGGAGGAAGCUUAGUGAUGAUACCCCCGGCAACAAACUUGUCCGGUAAGAUACAAUUGAAGUGCUCAAGUUCUCUAGCAAAAGACUGUAUCUCAUGAGCCUGCUCAACCACGGAGCGCUCUUCAGUCAUCCUGUAAUCAUAGAAUUAUUCCAUGAUGUACAGCUCAGUGCCGGCAUCCGAGACCCCAAACUUGGCCUCGAGUGUGUCCCACAUAUCUUUUCAUUGUCAAUUGAAGCAUAAGCAUCAACUAUGUUCUCACCAAGAACACUCAAAAGAGCAGCCUUAAACAAGGUAUCCAUUUUCUGGAAAGCUUGUGCCUGUUGGGCAUCUUGCUCUCCUUCAGGUUUGCCAAGAGUGGCAUCAUAGAAACUCAUGGUUUGAAACCAUAAGACUGCUCUCACACGCCACUUCUUAUAGUGGAUACCCUCAAACAUAGGAGGUCUCAUGGAAGCAGCAAAAUCACUCGGGGUAAAUUGCCUAUAAUAAGGUUUUUGGAUUGUUGGAAAUAUGAGCAAUUUACCGAAUGAUUUUAUUAACAAAAAUACUAGAUAAAGCAUGACUAAAAUAGCAAAUAUAAAGCAAGUCAUGUAGUCUGACAGAGAGAAGGUAAACAUCGUCUGCAUAUAUGAACUUGAGCUAAACACAGCUAGAACAGACACUAGAUGAAGUUGCUUAUACGAAACAGAACCUAACAUACGUAGGGCAGAAACUAGAGCCAAGAACUAUAGCAGGACUUCUAACAGAAAGGAGAAGAACACGUACGGCACAGCAGCAGCAGAAGCGCUGGACUUGGGGUUGGUGUCCUCGCCUGCCAUGUCAUCGAGGAGGUCAUGGACGUCAGGGAAGAAGUCGUCGUCGGGGAAGUAGUCGUCGGCGACCGGAUCGUCUGUGAUGAAGCAGCCAGUAGUCGCACUAAGCGCUCCCCAAAAACCUUAUCACCCUUCUCCCGUACAGGACUCAAAAGGGGCGGUCGCGAAAGCCUACUGUCCCGACGUGCGGUGCACGCCACAAGUCGGGAUGAGGAAGACAGCAGCAGCUCAGAGAUGGAACCGAUGGCGAGGGAAGGAGCAGUUCUGGUGCGUCUCUCUGAGAGGAGCGACCUCCCUUUUAUAGGCGCAAGAGAAGGAGGCGAGAGGCUGCGCCGGGAGCUGAAGGGAAUGCGGGAGACGAAACGAACAGGCAGCAGCCGAAGGGGCGCGCCGUUCGGAUUCAGUGUCCAGGCACAGAAAAAAAAUGUUUCAGCUUCCGAGUGACCUUUCGUAUACCCGUAGUGCGUGGCAAAAAUUUAGACAUCGGCUCGGCUCAUUCCCGCAACCCGCGGCGCGGCGCAUCGUGAUGAGGCGUGGUGAGGCGGGCGGCGGAGGAGGAGCACGCGUGGAUGUCCCUCUUGUUCUCAUGCUCAUACAAGUGGGGAAGGAGCCUCCCUUAUAAAGAGGUCCAACUCCCUCUAAACUAGCAAGGUGGGACUAAACUUUAGUUCCACCUCUUGCCUUGCACGAAUGGGCUGCGUGGGCCUCUAGGAUUUAUUAGGAAUUUCUAAAAUUGCUAUUGGGCUAGGCCCAAAUAGACAAAAAUUCCAGCAAUCCCCCACCAGAUCCCAGAGGCACACAAAAUUUGCCUUUGGUUCCAAAACACUGUUUUAUAUACUGGUACAGCAGUGGAGACUGUUAAGUUGAACUUCCACCUAGAACCCUAUGCUACACUAGUAAGCAACUUGAACAGUGGACUGGGCCUUGAACUGCAAGUUUUCUGCAAAUCUAGCUUCACAUAAGGCCUUGACCGAUACGUGGCUACCGUGGGUCUUCCCCGUGGGUGGAGCUUAUGCGUCAUACUCCGUGACCUUUCAUUAGUUUACUAGAGAGAACCCUACUCUCAUAGAUUGCGACGUUUAACAAUCAGACUCAUAUAGGUGCGUUCUUCAAAAGAUGUUCUGCAGGACAACAUCUCUGCUUCAAAAAGCCACUUAGAACACAUUAAGAUAUAAAUCAACCUGCCAUGCAGAUUAGGAGAGUAUUGCAUCUUCAUGGAGUGGUAUUUUAACAGUAUGGAUACUCUCCUCUCAGUUGACCAACAACUUGUCUUCCACAUCUAAUUCACGGGAUCUCCGAUCAUAAAGAAUAGGUUACCACUAUGAACAACUCAUAUUGUGGGUCUCAUUCCCAUCUCCCUCGAUGCAUUAUCUAUCACAUUACGUGAUAGACCCUUAGUAAAAGGAUCUGCCAGAUUUUUAGACGUUUGGAUAUAAUCCAAUGCAAUAACUCUGGAGUUUUUCAUUUUUCUGACAGACUUUAACCUUCUCUGAACGUGUCUUGAUGACUUCAUGUUAUCCUUUGAGUUGCUCACUUUAGUGAUCACAGUUUGAUUGUCACAGUUCAUCCGGAUACCCGGUACAGGUUUCUCAACUACCGGUAAGUCAUUCAAGAGCCGACGAAGCCAAUCUGCUUCGACCGUACCUGUAUCUAGUGUUGUGAGUUCUGCUUCCAUUGUUGACCUCAUUAAGAUGGUCUGCUUGCAAGACUUCCAAGAAACAGCGCCACCUCCAUGAGUGAAUACAUAACCGCUCGUGGCCUUUAUCUCAUCAGCAUCUGAGAUCCAGUUUGAGUCACUAUACCCUUCAAGCACCUUUGGAUGCCAAGUGUAGUGAAUUCCAUAAUUUGCAGUGCCUUUUAAAUAACGCAAAACUCUCUCUAGAGCUUUCCAAUGCACAUCUCCUGGUUUUGAGACAAACCGGCUUAGUUAGCUAAUAGCAAAAGAGAUGUCAGGUCUCGUAGCACUGGCUAAGUACAUAAGCGAGCCAAUAAUCUGUGAAUAUUUCAAUUGGUCUCUAGUGAUUCUUCGAUUCUUUCGAAGCAACACACUAGCAUCAUAUGGUCUUGGAGAGGGCUUGCAGUCACUGUAGCCAAAGCGGCUCAAGAUCUUUUCCACAUAGUGAGAUUGAAGCAAUGUAAUCCCACCAUCAUCAUCUCUCAACAACUUGAUGUUCAGAAUGACAUCAGCCACUCCUAAAUCCUUCAUCUCAAAACAGCAAGAUAGGAAAUCCUUGACCUCCUUAAGAACAUUCAGAUUUGUUCCGAAAAUCAGUAUGUCAUCAACAUACAAGCAAAGCAUAACUCCCUUGCCCCCACCAUGGCGAUAGUACACACAUUUGUCAGCUUCGUUCACAACAAAGCCUGCAGCUAUUAAAGUUCUUUCGAACUUCUCAUGCCACUGUUUGGGUGCUUGCUUGAGUCCAUACAAAGACUUCAGCAACUUGCACACUUUCCCUUCCUGGCCAUCUAUUACAAACCCCUCUGGUUGUUCCAUAUAAAUUUCCUCAUCCAAAUCUCCAUUUAGGAAAGCAGUCUUAACAUCCAUUUGAUGAACGAGAAGACCAUGUGAGGCAGCUAGUGAAAGUAGACCUCGAAUAGUGGUCAGUCGAGCCACAGGUGAGUAAGUAUCAAAGAAAUCUUCACCUUCCUUUUGGUUAUAACCCUUUGCCACGAGCCGAGCCUUGUACUUUUCAUUAGUACCAUCAGGCCUAAGUUUCUUCUUGAAUACCCAUUUGCAUCCUAUAGGUUUGCACCCAUAAGGACGAUCAGUUAUCUCCCAAGUUUCAUUCGCCAAGAUGGAAUCCAUCUCGCUACGAAUCGCUUCCUUCCAGUAGUCAGCAUCUUCCGAUGCAUAGGCAUCCGAAAUAGAACUGGGAGUGUCAUCUAUGAGAUACACAAGAAAAUCAUCACCAAAGGACUUUGCUGUCCUCUGUCUCUUGCUCCUAGUAGGAACUUCAUUGUUCUCCUCCGCAGGACUUUCAAAGUGUUCCAUCGAAAUGGCAGGUUCAGUAAUUGUAACUGGUUCCUGAUUCGAUGAACUAGGCAUCUCCUAAUUAGAUGAGGUAGCCAUAUCCUUCAUGGGAAUGAUAUCUUCAAAGAAAGUCGCAUCAUUCGACUCCAUGAUCGUACCGACAUGCAUGUCAGAUACCUCAGAUUUUACAACCAAGAAUCUAUAGCCAAUGCUGUGAAAAGCAUAUCCCAGGAAAACACAAUCCACAGUCUUUGGUCCAAGCUUCCGCUUCUUUGGAAUUGGAACAUUGACUUUCGCCAAGCAACCCCAUGUUCGCAGAUAAGAGAGUUUUAACCUUUUCUUCUCCCAUUCCUCGAAUGGAGUUAUCUCUUUGUUCUUUGUGGGGACUCGAUUUAGGACAUGACAUGCUGUCAAUAUCGCCUCCCCCCACCAUGCCUUGGAGAGACCCGAUGUGGCGUUAACCAAAUCAGUUAGAGUACGGUUCUUUCUUUCGGCCACCCCAUUUGACUGAGGUGAGUAGGGAGGCGUCCUCUCAUGGAUUAUACCAUGUUCUGCACAAAAAGCAUCAAAUUCAUUGGAAAAAUACUCUCCACCACAGUCAGACCUAAGCCUCUUGAUUUUUCGAUCAAGUUGGUUUUCCACUUCAGCUUUAUAGAUCUUGAAAAAGUUCAAAGCCUCAUCCUUACAUUUCAGAAGAUACACAUGGCAGUAUCUAGUGGAGUCAUUAAUUAACGUCAUGCAAUAUUUCUUUCCACCUUUUGUCAAAACACCAUUCAUUUCACAUAGAUCUGAAUGUAUAAGUUCUAGUGGUGCAAGAUUUCUCGUCUCCGCAGUCACGUGAGACUUACGAGGUUGCUUAGCUUGCACACACACUUGACACUUAGAUCCUUGACAGUGGUGAAACCAGGGAUUAAGUUCAACUUCGCUAGUCGCGACAUGCAACCAAAGUUAACAUGACAAAGACGUGAAUGCCACACAUUUGAUUCACUAUUGUUGCAAAUAUGAUUAACAACUUUAUUGCAAACGUCUGAUAAGGAUAAACGAAACAGGCCUCCUGACUCAUAGCCUUUACCAACAAAGGUCCCAUACUUGGAUAUUACAAAUUUAUUCGACUCAAAGACAAGCUUAUAGCCAUCUCUACACAGAAGAGAUCCGCUAACAAGAUUUUUAUUGACGGAGGGGACAUAAUGCAUGUUCUUCAGCCGCACGAUCUUCCCUGAAGUAAACUUCAGAUCAACCAUGCCAACACCACGAACAGAAGCACUUGAACUGUUGCCCAUCAGCACGGUUGAAGUCCCUGCGGUCUGAUAAGAUGAAAACAUGGAAAUAUCACCGCAUACAUGCACAUUAGCACCCAUGUCAAUCAACCAACCAGGAGAAUGACAUACUGAAAGAAUAGUGGGAAAUAUACCAUACCCAGCAUCUUUCAUGUCAAUGUGUCCGAUGACAACAUUAGCGGUCUUGCCGCCUUUCCCAGGAUGACGCUUGUCAUAGCGAUUAGGACAACUAGGAGCCCAAUGAUCAGGAUCUCCAAACACAUGACAAGCACCUUUCUUCUUGUCAUUCUUCUUCUUGAAGUUCAUGUGCUGCACAGCCUUGUUCUUCCCAUCGAACUUUGCUUUACCAUCAAACUUGCCCUUGUUCUUGAACUUGUGGGACUGAAAGUUCUUCUUCUGUACCAGAUUGGCACUAGAUCCUCCCUCAAUACCUCGGGCACGUGUGUCCUUUGCUCUCGCCUUUUCUUCCACAUAAGAGUACCAAUGAGAUCCGGGACGGAAAACUCCUGUCUCUUAUGCUUCAGUAAGGUAGCAAAGUUCCUCCAUGAAGGAGGAAGCUUAGUGAUGAUACCCCCGGCAACAAACUUGUCCGGUAAGAUACAAUUGAAGUUCUCAAGUUCUCUAGCAAAAGACUGUAUCUCAUGAGCCUGCUCAACCAUGGAGCGCUCUUCAGUCAUCCUGUAAUCAUAGAAUUAUUCCAUGAUGUACAGCUCAGUGCCGGCAUCCGAGACCCCAAACUUGGCCUCGAGUGUGUCCCACAUAUCUUUUCAUUGUCAAUUGACGCAUAAGCAUCAACUAUGUUCUCACCAAGAACACUCAAAAGAGCAGCCUUAAACAAGGUAUCCAUUUUCUGGAAAUCUUGUGCCUGUUGGGCAUCUUGCUCUCCUUCAGGUUUGCCAAGAGUGGCGUCAUAGAAACUCAUGGUUUGAAACCAUAAGACUGCUCUCACACGCCACCUCUUAUAGUGAAUACCCUCAAACAUAGGAGGUCUCAUGGAAGCAGCAAAAUCACUCAGGGUAAAUUGCCUAUAAUAAGGUUUUUGGAUUGUUGGAAAUAUGAGCAAUUUACCGAAUGAUUUUAUUAACAAAAAUACUAGAUAAAGCAUGACUAAAAUAGCAAAUAUAAAGCAAGUCAUGCAGUCUGAGAGAUAGAAGGUAAACAUCGUCUGCAUAUAUGAACUUGAGCUAAACACAUCUAGAACAGACACUAGAUGAAGUUGCUUAUACGAAACAGAACCUAACAUACGUAGGGCAAAAUCUAGAGCCAAGAACUGUAGCAGGACUUCUAACAGAAAGGAGAAGAACACGUACGGCACAGCAGCAGCAGAAGCGCUGGACUUGGGUUGCUGUCCUCGCCUGCCAUGUCAUCGAGGAGGUCAUGGACGUCAGGGAAGAAGUCGUCGUCGGCGGGGAAGUAGUCGUCGGCGACCGGAUCGUCUGUGAUGAAGCAGCCAGUAGUCGCACUGAGCACUCCCCAAAAACCUUAUCACCCUUCUCUCGUACAAGACUCAAAAGGUGCGGUCGCGAAAGCCUACUGUCCCGACGUGCGGUGCACGCCGCAAGUCGGGAUGAGGAAGACAGCAGCAGCUCAGAGAUGGAACCGAUGGCGAGGGAAGGAGCAGUUCUGGUGCGUCUCUCUGAGAGGAGCGACCUCCCUUUUAUAGGCGCAAGAGAAGGAGGCGAGAGGCUGCGCCGAGAGCUGAAGGGAAUGCGGGAGACGAAACGAACAGGCAGCAGCCGAAGGGGCGCACCAUUCGGAUUCAGUGUCCAGGCACAGAAAAAAAAUGUUUCAGCUUUCGAGUGACCUUUCGUAUACCCGUAGUGCGUGGCAAAAAUUUAGACAUCGGCUCGGCUCAUUCCCGCAACCCGCGGCGCGGCGCAUCGUGACGAGGCGUGGUGAGGCAGGCGGCGGAGGAGGAGCGCACGUGGAUGUCCCUCUUGUUCUCAUGCUCAUACAAGUGGGGAAGGAGCCUCCCUUAUAAAGAGGUCCAACUCCCUCUAAACUAGCAAGGUGGGACUAAACUUUAGUUCCACCUCUUGCCUUGCACGAAUGGGCUGCAUGGGCCUCUAGGAUUUAUUAGGAAUUUCUAAAAUUGCUAUUGGGCUAGGCCCAAAUAGACAAAAAUUCCAGCAAUCCCCCACCAGAUCCCAGAGGCACAAAAAAUUUGCCUUUGGUUCCAAAACACUGUUUUAUAUACUGGUACAGCAGUGGAGACUGUUAAGUUGAACUUCCACCUAGAACCCUAUGCUACACUAGUAAGCAACUUGAACAGUGGACUGGGCCUUGAACUGCAAGUUUUCUGCAAAUCUAGCUUCACAUAAAGCCUUGACCGAUACGUGGCUACCGUGGGUCUUCCCCGCGGGUGGAGCUUAUGCGUCAUACUCCAUGACCUUUCAUUAGUUUACUAGAGAGAACCCUACUCUCAUAGAUUGCGACGUUUAACAAUCAGACUCAUAUAGGUGCGUUCUUCAAAAGAUGUUCUGCAGGACAACAUCUCUGCUUCAAAAAGCCACUUAGAACACAUUAAGAUAUAAAUCAACCUGCCAUGCAGAUUAGGAGAGUAUUGCAUCUUCAUGGAGUGGUAUUUUAACAGUAUGGAUACUCUCCUCUCAGUUGACUAACAGCUUGUCUUCCACAUCUAAUUCACGGGAUCUCCGAUCAUAAAGAAUAGAUUACCACUGUGAACAACUCAUAUUGUGGGUCUCAUUCCCAUCUCCCUCGAUGCAUUAUCUAUCACAUUACGUGAUAGACCCUUAGUAAAAGGAUCUGCCAGAUUUUUAGACGUUUGGAUAUGAUCCAAUGCAAUAACUCUGGAGUUUUUCAUUUUUCUGACAGACUAACCUUCUCUGAACGUGUCUUGAUGACUUCAUGUUAUCCUUUGAGUUGCUCACUUUAGUGAUCACAGUUUGAUUGUCACAGUUCAUCCGGAUACCCGAUACAGGUUUCUCAACUACCGGUAAGUCAUUCAAGAGCAGACGAAGCCAAUCCGCUUCAACCGUACAUGUAUCUAGUGUUGUGAGUUCUACUUCCAUUGUUGACCUCGUUAGAUGGUCUGCUUGCAAGACUUCCAAGAAACAGCGCCACCUCCAUGAGUGAAUACAUAACCGCUCGUGGCCUUUAUCUCAUCAACAUCUGAGAUCCAGUUUGAGUUACUAUACCCUUCAAGCACCUUUGGAUGCCCAGUGUAGUGAAUUCCAUAAUUUGCAGUGCCUUUCAAAUAACGCAAAACUCUCUCUAGAGCUUUCCAAUGCACAUCUCCUGGUUUUGAGACAAACCGGCUUAGUUAGCUAACAGCAAAAGAGAUGUCAGGUCUCAUAGCACUGGCUAAGUACAUAAGCGAGCCAAUAAUCUGUGAAUAUUUCAAUUGGUCUCUAGCGAUUCUUCGAUUCUUUCGAAGCAACACACUAGCAUCAUAUGGUGUUGGAGAGGGCUUGCAGUCACUAUAGCCAAAGCGGCUCAAGAUCUUUUCCACAUAGUGAGAUUGAAGCAAUGUAAUCCCACCAUCAUCAUCUCUCAACAACUUGAUGUUCAGAAUGAGAUCAGCCACUCCUAAAUCCUUCAUCUCAAAACAGCAAGAUAGGAAAUCCUUGACCUCCUUAAGAACAUUCAGAUUUGUUCCGAAAAUCAGUAUGUCAUCAACAUACAAGCAAAGCAUAACUCCCUCGCCCCCACCAUGGCGAUAGUACACACAUUUGUCAGCUUCGUUCACAACAAAGCCUGCAGCUAUUAAAGUUCUUUCGAACUUCUCAUGCCACUGUUUGGGUGCUUGCUUGAGUCCAUACAAAGACUUCAGCAACUUGCACACUUUCCCUUCCUGGCCAUCUAUUACAAACCCCUCUGGUUGUUCCAUAUAAAUUUCCUCAUCCAAAUCUCCAUUUAGGAAAGCAGUCUUAACAUCCAUUUGAUGAACGAGAAGACCAUGUGAGGUAGCUAGUGAAAGUAGACCUCGAAUAGUGGUCAGUCGAGCCACAGGUGAGUAAGUAUCAAAGAAGUCUUCACCUUCCUUUUGGGUAUAACCCUUUUCCAUGAGCCAAGCCUUGUACUUUUCAUUAGUACCAUCAGGCCUAAGUUUCUUCUUGAAUACCCAUUUGCAUCCUAUAGGUUUGCACCCAUAAGGACGAUCAGUUAUCUCCCAAGUUUCAUUCGCCAAGAUGGAGUCCAUCUCGCUACGAAUCGCUUCCUUCCAGUAGUCAGCAUCUUCCGAUGCAUAGGCAUCCGAAAUAGAACUGGGAGUGUCAUCUAUGAGAUACACAAGAAAAUCAUCAGCAAAGGACUUUGCUGUCCUCUGUCUCUUGCUCCUAGUAGGAACUUCAUUGUUCUCCUCCGCAGGACUUUCAAAGUGUUCCAUCGAAAUGGCAGGUUCAGUAAUUGUAACUGGUUCCUGAUUCGAUGAACUAGGCAUCUCCUAAUUAGAUGAGGUAGCCAUAUCCUUCAUGGGAAUGAUAUCUUCAAAGAAAGUCGCAUCAUUCGACUCCAUGAUCGUACCGACAUGCAUGUCAGAUACCUCAGAUUUUACAACCAAGAAUCUAUAGCCAAUGCUGUGAAAAGCAUAUCCCAGGAAAACACAAUCAACAGUCUUUGGUCCAAGCUUCCGCUUCUUUGGAAUUGGAACAUUGACUUUCGCCAAGCAACCCCAUGUUCGCAGAUAAGAGAGUUUUAACCUUUUCUUCUCCCAUUCCUCGAAUGGAGUUAUCUCUUUGUUCUUUGUGGGGACUCGAUUUAGGACAUGACAUGCUGUCAAUAUCGCCUCCCCCCACCAUGCCUUGGAGAGACCCGAUGUGGCGUUAACCAAAUCAGUUAGAGUACGGUUCUUUCUUUCGGCCACCCCAUUUGACUGAGGUGAGUAGGGAUGCGUCCUCUCAUGGAUUAUACCUUGUUCUGCACAAAAAGCAUCAAAUUCAUUGGAAAAAUACUCUCCACCACGGUCAGACCUAAGCCUCUUGAUUUUUCGAUCAAGUUGGUUUUCCACUUCAGCUUUAUAGAUCUUGAAAAAGUUCAAAUCCUCAUCCUUACAUUUCAGAAGAUACACAUGGCAGUAUCUAGUGGAGUCGUUAAUUAACGUCAUGAAAUAUUUCUUUCCACGUUUUGUCAAAACACCAUUCAUUUCACAUAGAUCUGAAUGUAUAAGUUCUAGUGGUGCAAGAUUUCUCGUCUCCGCAGUCAUGUGAGACUUACGAGGUUGCUUAGCUUGCACACACACUUGACACUUAGAUCCCUUGACAGUGGUGAAACUAGGGAUUAAGUUCAACUUCGCUAGCCGCGACAUGCAACCAAAGUUAACAUGACAAAGACGUGAAUGCCACACAUUUGAUUCACUAUUGUUGCAAAUAUGAUUAACAACUUUAUUGCAAAUGUCUGAUAAGGAUAAACGAAACAGGCUUCCUGACUCAUAGCCUUUGCCAACAAAAGUUCCAUACUGGGAUAUUACAAAUUUAUUCGACUCAAAUACAAGCUUAUAGCCAUCUCUACACAGAAGAGAUCCGCUAACAAGAUUGUUAUUGACGGAGGGGACAUAAUGCACGUUCUUCAGCCGCACGAUCUUCCCCGAAGUAAACUUCAGAUCGACCAUGCCAACACCACGAACAGAAGCACUUGAACCGUUGCCCAUCAGCACGGUUGAAGUCCCUGCGGUCUGAUCAGAUGAAAACAUGGAAAUAUCACUGCAUACAUGCACAUUAGCACCCAUGUCAAUCAACCAAUCAGGAGAAUGACAUACUGAAAGAAUAGUGGGAAAUAUACCAUACCCAGCAUCUUUCAUGUCAAUGUCUCCGAUGACAACAUUAGCGGUCUUGCCGCCUUUCCCAGGAUGACGCUUGUCAUAGAGAUUAGGACAAAUAGGAGCCCAAUGAUCAGGCUCUCCACACACAUGACAAGCACCUUUCUUCUUGUCAUUCUUCUUCUUGAAGUUCGUGUGCUGCACAGCCUUGUUCUUCCCAUCGAACUUUGCUUUACCAUCAAACUUGCCCUUGUUCUAGAACUUGUGGGACUGGAAGUUCUUCUUCUGUACUAGAUUGGCACUAGAUCCUCCCUCAAUACCUCGAGCACGUGUGUCCUUUGCUCUCGCCUUUUCUUCCACAUCAAGAGUACCAAUGAGUUCCGGGACGGAAAACUCCUGUCUCUUAUGCUUCAGUAAGGUAGCAAAGUUCCUCCACGAAGGAGGAAGCUUAGUGAUGAUACCCCCGGCAACAAACUUGUCCGGUAAGAUACAAUUGAAGUGCUCAAGUUCUCUAGCAAAGGACUGUAUCUCAUGAUCCUGCUCAACCACGGAGCGCUCUUCAGUCAUCAUGUAAUCAUAGAAUUGCUCCAUGAUGUACAAUUCAGUGCCGGCAUCCGAGACCCCAAACUUGGCCUCAAGUGCGUCCCACAUAUCUUUUCUAUUGUCAAUUGACGCAUAAGCAUCAACUAUGUUCUCACCAAGAACACUCAAAAGAGCAGCCUUAAACAAGGUAUCCAUUUUCAGAAAAGCUUGUGCCUGUUGGGCAUCUUGCUCUCCUUCAGGUUUGCCAAGAGUGGCGUCAUAGCAACUCAUGGUUUGAAACCAUAAGACUGCUCUCACGCGCCACCUCUUAUAGUGGAUACCCUCAAACAUACGAGCUCUCAUGGAAGCAGCAAAACCACUCGGGGUAAAUUGCCUAUAAUAAGGUUUUUGGAUUGUUGGAAAUAUGAGCAAUUUACCGAAUGAUUUUAUUAACAAAAAUACUAGAUAAAGCAUGACUAAAAUAGCAAAUAUAAAACAAGUCAUGCAGUCUGACAGAGAGAAGGUAAACAUCGUCUGCAUAUAUGAACUUGAGCUAAACACAUCUAGAACAUACACUAGAUGAAGUUGCUUAUACGAAACAGAACCUAACAUACGUAGGGCAGAAACUAGAGCCAAGAACUGUAGCAGGACUUCUAACAGAAAGGAGAAGAACACGUACGGCAUAGCAGCAGCAGAAGCGCUGGACUUCGGGUCGGUGUCCUCGCCUGCCAUGUCGUCGAGGAGGUCGUGGACGUCGGGGAAGAAGUCGUCGUCGGGGAAGUAGUCGUCGGCGACCGGAUCGUCCGUGAUGAAGCAGCCAGUAGUCGCGCUGAGCGCUCCCCAAAAACCUUAUCACCCUUCUCCCGUACAGGACUCAAAAGGUGCGGUCUCGGAGGCCUACUAUCCCGACGUGCGGUGCACGCCGCAAGUCGGGAUGAGGAAGACAGCAGCAGCUCAGAGAUGGAACCGAUGGCGAGGGAAGGAGCAGUUCUGGUGCGUCUCUCUGAGAGGAGCGACCUCCCUUUUAUAGGCGCAAGAGAAGGAGGCGAGAGGCUGCGCCGGGAGCUGAAGGGAAUGCGGGAGACGAAACGAACAUGCAGCAGCCGAAGGGGCGCGCCUUCGGAUUCAGUGUCCAGGCACAGAAAAAAAUGUUUCAGCUUCCGAGUGACCUUUCGUAUACCCGUAGUGCGUGGCAAAAAUUUAGACAUCGGCUCGGCUCAUUCCCGCAACCCGCGGCGCGGCAUGACGAGGCGUGGUGAGGCGGGCGGCGGAGGAGGAGCGCGCGUGGAUGUCCCUCUUGUUCUCAUGCUCAUACAAGUGGAGAAGGAGCCUCCCUUAUAAAGAGGUCCAACUCCCUCUAAACUAGCAAGGUGGGACUAAACUUUAGUUCCACCUCUUGCCUUGCACGAAUGGGCUGCGUGGUCCUCUAGGAUUUAUUAGGAAUUUCUGAAACUGCUAUUGUGCUAGGCCCAAAUAGACAAAAAUUCCAGCAGUUUGUGUUCUUCAGGUCUCCACUUGCCAUGAUAUUGCGGCUGGGCUUCGGGUAUGUGUUACCACUGAUACAUCAUUCCAAACUACUAAUGAAUUGGUCUCUGAUGUCUUCUUCUCAAUUUUAACUAGGGCCUGCUUCUGUUUGCACCAAUUCGAGAUAGUGGUUGUGGAAUGCAGCAGCCAAGACAACAAGGUCAGGCUCGGCUUAGGUAUGAUGACAAACAAAAUUAGAUUCGGAUGGUUCCUUACAUCUUCCUCUCAGAAUCAAGAGUGAUAAUACUUUUUUGGUGCUCCGGCUUCUGCAGUUUCUGAAGAACUGAUUCGUUGUUCAGGCAUUUCAUGCAUUUGGAGUUCACAGGUAUCUAAGUUUCUCUGACUGUGUUUUCAAAUAAUUGAUACUUGACAUUAGGAUUUUUGGCUGAACAAAUCAUCUUAGACAUAAGUAGAACCCGGCAAAUUGUGAGACAGAGCUAAUUGAUACACAGUUUAGAAAAUAGAACUGAACAAUUCUUGGUAGUCACUAUUGAUUAGCUAUGUGCGUACCUUAAGUUCCUUACUACUUAUUUUAAUUGUUAGUACUUGAAGGUUUGAAUAAUUAUUAUUACCAAGUUACAUGUUGAUCACUACUUAUUAUGAAAAUGUAUGUCCAUGGUUUAAAGGAGCUUUAUUGUUUCAGUCUAUACUAAGUUAUUUGUCGGUUAUACUGGAGCUUAUAUUGUUCCCUCUUUGAUCUAGACAUCAAAUAUUCUAAGCUUCAUUUUUGUGAGCAAACGGUUCUAUGCUUCCUUUUUGUGAACAUUGCUCCAUAAAUAGUAGUGGCAUUUACUAUGCAGAUGAUACUGACAAAUUAUCAUACAAGUCCGCAUUAAUAUUCAGUCAGUAGGUUAUUGAAGAAGGCCGGAGAUCGCGUGGAGCACCAACAAUAACCUCAAGUAGAUGCAGCAGAGACAUGUGAUGAACUAUCAUAUGUUUCCUAAUCUGAAUGUUUGCUCCAAUCGCUUGAUUGUUUGAUCUGGUUUGUUGUGACAAUACAAUGAUUUUCUAUGUUCUUUUUGUGGUGCAAUCUCCGUUGAUUUGGAAAGAUGGGGACUUUCUGUUGAGCUAUUUCGAUCGGCCAUUGGCCAUAACAUUCCAAAUUCCUUAUUUUGUUUCCUCUUUUUCGCGGCUUCAUUUUACGUGUCUCACUAAAGGUGGGCAUGACUUGAAAAGGGAGGCAAACAAAACUGCCAAGAUGCAUCUCUUUUGCAGCAGAAGAAGAGGCACUGAUGAGAGGUGGAAAAGGAGGGGCAAAGAAGGAAGCCAUGGGCAUGUGCCGCCUACCGACCAUGAAUAUCAACAAUGACAAUGACGACUAGCUUGUGUGCGUGUGAGAGAGGGAGGGAGAGGGAGUCAAAACAAAAUGAUGUAUAUCUUUACUACAUUAUAAAAUGGGAUUUGGUGAGCUAUUUGUCCUUUAUGAUUCAUGAGAUUUUAAUUCUAUAGUGUUUUUUGCUCUUAAUAUAUUAUUGUGGUUAUAGAUUUAUCAUUGACACAAUAUAUGUAGAAACUUUUUUGAUCUAAAUAAGAAGAACAAAAGUUUACGGGAUGCUUUUUGAUCGUUCCCUUUACCUAGCUUCCAAUUUCUAUUGUCAGAAACACAUUUUUUUUGUUCCUAUAGGAAACAUAUGCAAAUAAAAGAUUUGCCGAAGCUUUUUGAGUCCCUGAUGCAUACUAAAUACAGUCCUAGAACAAUAUGCUUAUGCAUAAUAACAAGCUGGAAAAUUGCUCCAAAAUAACACUUAAAACAUAUAAAAGAACAAAAAAAUCCAUUCUGAAUUCUAAAAUGAUCUUUCAAUGUAUGCAGCAAACUGCUUCCUUUAUAAUCUGACAAAACUCGCAGGACUUAUCAUGACGCAUGAAAGGAUAUAGUAAACCAUCACACCGAAGCCGAGGUUGGCUUUGUUUCCUUAUUUUUGCGAGAAGGUGUCAUAGUUCUACUAUUUUGAUUAGCCAUCUAGAGGGAUGACAGUGCAUGCAAUCAUUUAAAUAAAAUAAUACAAAGAUGCUGCAUGAGUCAUCAAUUCAAACAAGAACUUGUUUCAUGUGAUUUUUUGUGUAAAGUGGAAACAAAUUAUUUUUAUAACAACUAAUUCGACAACACAAGUGCUACACCGUGAUCAGUAUAUGCAUAUGAUACGAUCUAGCUAUUUUCCUUUGCACGGGUGGUUUUUAUCAUGAGGUAGGAGGGUUCGUACAAGUCGACUAUCAGCUCUCAUGCAAUGCUUUAAAAAGAAAAACGAGAGGAAUUUGUGAAUUUUUGUAUAACAUUGCAAAUUAUAUGAAAAAACUUUUUAAUUUGUCAGAACUUUUAGGAGGGAGUGAGUGGCAAAUGUUGGAAGACAUUCAAAGUUAGGAUGAUGGGAAUGCCUAUGGCAAUUUGGAGAACUUGGAGAAAACAUAUGCGAACUUGAGCUAGGUAGCAAUGUAGAGCUUAAUUAAGCUAAAUGGUUCAUAUUCAUUUGUUAGUCCAUGAGUUCGAGAUGAUGGACUCAACAAUUGGAUAGAUUUGGAGGGAACACGAAUUUGGAGUAGUGUGACAACAUAGCGAAGUAAUGACACAAUGGUCGAAGGGCUGAAGUUGAGGGGCUUGUGAUAGAUCCAUUUGUUGGCCCGUGGCUGCGCACGGGCGUUCUACUAGUAAUCAUUGGUGGCUUCUUUGACCACCAGACGGCUUAUUGACUUCUUCCACUCGAGGAUCACCGUGGAGCAAUCCUUCUUCCCCUUCCUACAGAAGCACGCCAACCACAAACAAAUGCUCAAAAAGACCUUAGCAAAUGCCAUUGAACUAGAUUGUAGGCAAGAGGAAUCUUAUUAGUUGGUAGAUGUAGAUGUCGAGGCCUCAUCAUUGCUUGCCAGAGGCCUCAUGUGUAUGUCGUGCGUCCCACCAGAGGCCUCUUUUAAUUAGAGGAAGGGCGGUGCGGAGAAGACAUCAUUAGUCACCCUGGGAGAAGAAAGUUCGGUGGCGGUGCGUGUAAAGAGGAGACUUUGGUAGUUUCUGGUGGAGUUGUGGUAGCCGUAGGGACGACGAGAGUGAGAGAGGACUGGGGACGGAGGAGAGGUGAUGGAUGGAAAAAAAUUGGGUGAUUGAGGACGAAAACCAAGAUGAAAANNNNNNNNNNNNNNNNNNNNNNNNNNNNNNNNNNNNNNNNNNNNNNNNNNNNNNNNNNNNNNNNNNNNNNNNNNNNNNNNNNNNNNNNNNNNNNNNNNNNNNNNNNNNNNNNNNNNNNNNNNNNNNNNNNNNNNNNNNNNNNNNNNNNNNNNNNNNNNNNNNNNNNNNNNNNNNNNNNNNNNNNNNNNNNNNNNNNNNNNNNNNNNNNNNNNNNNNNNACUAGAUGUCUCUGUAGUGAAGUAAUAUGAGCAUAACUUAAUUGAUCAGUGUAAAACUUUGAAUUGGUUAAGUAUACUACACUAAAGUAAGUUGUAAAGCCUAAUUGCAAUUAUAUCUUUGAGGGCAAUGCUUAUGAGUUGCGUGACAAUCUUGUCUGUUCUGGAUCUUGCAUCUGAUUCUAAUUAAACAGUACAUGUUAGAUGUUUUUAAUGAGGUCCACGUUAGAUUUGAUUGUUAAUUUAUAGUGCGGGUGAAAGCGGAUUCUAUCCUUUUCGUCUGCCAUUUUUCCUUUCAUAAAAUGUGUCCAUGGAGUAAUUCUCCACAAAAACAAACUUAACUGGACAAAAUAUCCACGGCAAGUCGCAUAUCUUGUGCAACUGUUCACUGUUGAAAGCUUAUUGUGCCACUACCCAUCAUUGCAAGGAAAAAAUACAGAAGAUUUAUGUUCUACCAAAUACAUUCUUUUGUUCAGAUUUAGCCAGGUAUGAUCCUGGUUGCGUCAGCCAUUAGAGUACAUUGCGAUCGACUAGACAGUUUCAGUGCUCAUCUUGCCUACUUUUGCAGCACUAGAUUUGCGAUCAGGUAGAUAAACACAACAACAAAGGAGACGACAGAUGCCAGCGGCCCAUAUUUCCCAAGAAUUCUCUGUGGGUUAAUUCCAUAAUACGGAUUGAAUUCUCUACUGGCACGGAAUCCAGCAACAAGGGCCACACCAUGCUGACACUAGCAGCUAUGUGUUGCUCCCGUGGGCAAGACCUGCCCAAGGAGGAUAGGUAAGAGAAAUGGCUGAAGACACACCAACACCUGGCAACAUGUAGGUUCAUAUUUCACCCCCACCCUUGGAUAAAACCGUGAAUCAUUUGAAACAUAUUAAAACUUGAGUGCAUUUUUUAUUUUGGAGAAAUAUAUAUGCUCACAAGAGCUUAGGAGUCACACGUCGGUUCUAGGUAAUUAAACAAACAAGAACAUUCACUUGUUGAGAAAUUUUACCACCUCUUCUUGCUUCUUUUAUGACACUAGAACUUGACGGGCUUUGGGUCACCUCCUUUUCGGUUUAUAAGGCUUGCGCGUAUCUCUAGGUUGACAAAUAGACCAACUUAAUACAAGUUGUAUAUCACAAAAAAUAUAUAAUUAGGAACUUCAAAUCGUAUACUUUCUAAUGGUAUAAUUUUUAGACUAUACAACUCAUGUUAUGUUGGUCAAGUUAUAGAUCCAGGGAUAUGUACAAGCCUUAUAAACCGGAAAGGAGGUAUGUUAGUAGAUAAACAUGCCAAUUAAGGACUUCUUGACAAGUCUAUGCAGAUUAAAGGUAUGUUAGUAGAUGGUGUAAUAAAUACAUGCUUUUAGCUAUCUAAGGAUACAAAUAUGCCACUAUUUACUUUGUAAAUGCUCGAAAUCAUUCUCAGAAAUUUUAGUAACAACAGUUGUCAUGAACAACUUGGACUAAAUGCAUCAAAUGUUACAAAUAAUACAUAAAAACAUUCAAAUGUACUUAGAGUGAAUCAAUUAAGACGUGUAAAGCUAGUACUAAUCCAAUAUUUCUUAAUGACUUGCAUAUACUUACAACACUUGACGUAAAGAGUGAAUCAAUUAAGACGUGCAAAGCCAGUACUAAUCCAAUUUUAUUAAUAGCUUCCACAAAAUUACAACACGUGGCGUAAAAAGGGAAUAUGAUGAGUCAUGUAUUGAUAACGUGUACAACAUUACUACCCUUGACAUAAAAAGAGAAGUUGAUGAGUCAUGUCUUAAUAACGUGUACAACAUUACUAUCAGCUUGUUCAUCUUACCAUCAUACUAUACAACACUAUAAGUUAGUUUAAAAAAGAAUAAGAGUCCAGAACAAACAUCACAAUACUAGCCUGAUCUAUAUUAACAACAUGCACAAGGACACAAAUUUAGUUCCCCGCAAGCUAUGAAGAUUUGGUUUAUGUCUAACAACUUGUACAAUAUGACAAACUUAGAUCCAAAAGGAAUGCAAACCAGAUAAUUGUAAUGCAAUCCAGAUAAUUAUUUGACAUGCAAAGUGAAUAAGAUGAGUCACUACCAAUUAUCAAGUUUUCCUCACUCUUAGAUGAUAUGAACCAUAAAAAGGCAACUUUGAUGAUCACUCCAUAAUUACGUUUGUAUGUAGUGCCACCAAACACAACACACAAAAUAAUUAGUUCGAUAAGCAUCGAAUCACUUUAAAAAGGAAAGCAAAAAUGGAAAGAAACCUAACCAUGGGAGCUAUAAAAAGGCCUGCAAUAUGUAGACUCCAUACCAUCAUCCAUCCUUCACACAACUAGAGCACAAGUAUCAAAUCCAAGUACGUAGUGGUUAACGCAAAUUAACCAUGAAGACCUUACUCAUCCUAACAAUCCUUGUGAUGGCAGUAACCAUCGGCACCGCCAAUAUGCAGGUCGACCCUAGCGGCCAAGUACAAUGGCCACAACAACAACCAGUCCUGCUGCCUCAGCAACCAUUCUCCCAGCAACCACAACAAACAUUUCCCCAACCCCAACAAACAUUCCCCCAUCAACCACAACAACAAUUUCCCCAGCCUCAACAACCACAACAACAAUUUCUCCAGCCACAACAACCAUUCCCCCAACAACCACAACAACCAUAUCCCCAGCAACCACAACAACCAUUCCCCCAGACUCAACAACCCCAACAACUAUUUCCCCAGUCCCAGCAACCACAACAACCAUAUCCCCAGCAACCACAACAACCAUUCCCCCAGACUCAACAACCCCAACAACAAUUUCCCCAAUCCCAGCAACCACAAUAACCAUUUCCCCAACCCCAACAACCGCAACAAUCAUUCCCCCAGCAACAACCAUCGUUCAUUCAGCCAUCUCUACAACAACAGCUGAACCCAUGCAAGAAUUUACUCUUGCAGCAAUGCAGACCUGUGUCAUUGGUCUCAUCCCUCUGGUCAAUGAUCUGGCCACAAAGCGCUUGCCAAGUGAUGAGGCAACAAUGCUGCCAACAACUAGCACAGAUUCCUCAGCAGCUCCAGUGUGCAGCCAUCCAUAGCGUCGUGCAUUCCAUCAGCAUGUAGCAAGAACAACAACAACAACAACAACAACAACAACAACAACAACAACAACAACAACAACAACAACAACAACAACAACAACAACAACAACAACAACAACAAGGCAUGCGUAUCCUGCUGCCACUAUAUCAGCAACAACAGGUGGGUCAAGGUACUCUCGUCCAGGGCCAGGGCAUCAUCCAACCCCAACAACCAGCUCAAUUGGAGGCGAUCAGGUCAUUGGUGUUGCAAACUCUUCCAACCAUGUGCAACGUGUAUGUCCCACCUGAGUGCUCUAUCAUCAAGGCACCAUUUGCCAGCAUAGUCACCGGAAUUGGUGGCCAAUGAAAAACGCAAGAGCCAUACUAAUAGGUAGAUGGAUCAUCGUUGCUUAGCUGAUUUACCAAUCGAUGUAACGAUGCCAAAUAAACUGGUGUGCACCAUCAUGUGUCAUCCUGACCAGUGCUAGUUCAAGAUUGGGAAUAAAAGAGAAGAACGUUCAUGUUUGCCAACAUUGCUUGUCAUUGUUCCAUUCACUGUGUAUUUAUAUUUUCAUCCUGAACUGCAAUUCUAGUCUUACACAUCAAUAGCUAGUUGCUCAUGUCGGCAGGUUCCUAUGUAAUCUAAUGAUUAAUGGUCGACCUAUUAAUCUAGUUUAUCGGCCGAUUGAUCUAUUAAUUGGUGCUCCCAAGCCGACCGAGCAGCCAUCAGUUACCGAUUUCCUGAACAUUGCACACAAUAAUAAUUCAACGUAUUUCAAUGUCUAGAAGUAAAAGGGCCAUAUAAGCAGUAAAACAAGCGCCUGAUUAGAAACCAUCCAUCACUUUAAAUUAAUCUAGAUAUUUUUGUGUUGGUGCAAUUUUGAGUUGAUGGCACCGACACAUUCUUGAAAGAAAUUCUACAGGGAACUCCAAAGAGGUGAAAAUCAAACUAAAGUUGCCACAUGGUAAAAGAUAAAUCAUGCGGCAAGCAAGAGGAAAUAUUGAGUCACAAUAGCUAGCGCCAAACAUGUAAUUAAACUAUUCUUAUGGUUUCUUGCAAAGAGGGAAGUAAUUUACAGAUGACAAACAAAACGUAAUUAGCAUUAGUUCUAAUUGAUUGUAGAAAUUUCUUUUAUCGGUAGAAUAACUCAGUUGUUAUUUAUUUAAACAUGCACUGUGAUAUUGACUUAUCUCAAUCUAGGAACACAAAGCAAAUACUACAUUUGCUGCUAUGGACUCCAAACAGAUGAGAAAUCAUUAUGUGUAGAAGUUCCUUAGAAGGAUAUUUUGGCCUAAACAAAUUUAACAUUGUACUCGUGUCUUACAUAGUUAAAGCUGAAAAAUCAACAUAACCAGUGGACACUUUGUAAGACAAGUGUGGGAAACAAAUAGUAGGAUAUAAAUUUGAGUAGAAUGUUUGCUCAAAUGUUGAAAAAAUAACCCAGCAAACUAAAACUCAGCAAAACAGUCUAUUCUACCUUAUACGGACUGUCACAAUGAUAAUGCUAUGUUUUUUUGGAAUACAAAUUCAAAAAAAAUCAGCCACAGAUCCCUGAGCCCAUCCAACAGGAGAGCUUCAAUUGAAAGAAGUAUUAGUUCGAUUAGACCAUGUAGUACCUAAAGGAGGAUGGUGGCCCCAUGGAACAACUCCAGCCUUUCCAUUGUGUCCGGGCGCAAUGCGAUAAUGGAGUUAUGGUCAUUGGUGGCUUCGCUGGCCAUAGACGGCUUAUUGACUUCUUCCACUUGAGGAUCACCGUGAACCAGUCCUUCUUCCCCAUCCUACAUAAGCAUGCCAACCACAAAUAAAUGCUCAAAAAGACCAUCUUAAAUGUCAUUGAACCGGAUUAUGGGAGGCAGAAUCUUAUGACUCGGUGGAUGCAGAUAUCGAGGCCUCAUUUGUAUGUUGUGCCUCCCACCAGAGGUGUCUUCUAAUUAGAGUGGUGCGAGAAGACAAUAUAAGCCACCGUGCAAGCGAAACAAUUAGGAGGCACUGCUUGUAAAGCGGAGAAUUUGGCACUGUCUGGUGGCAUUGCGGUAGCCGCAGGGUGGAAGAGAGAGAGGGAGGGAGGGAGGGAGGAUGAAUCGGAAAACCAGGAGCAGGGGUGAUCAACGAUGAAAACCAAGAUGAAAAAACAAUGUGCAAGAGAGGAAGAGGAAUAGGCUAGCUAUUUCUGUAGUGAAGUAAUAUGAGCAUAACUUAACCCAUAGGUGUGGAACUUGGAUUCGGUUGAAGUAUAUACUAUACUAAAGUAAGCUGACUAAUUGCAAUUUAAAUCUUUGGUGGCAAUGCUUAUGAGUUGUGAGGCCAUCUUGACUAUUCUGGAUCUUGCAUAUGAUUCUAAUUAAACAGUAUAUGUCAGAUGUUUUUAAAGAGGCACACAUUAUAUUUGAUUGUUGAUUUACACAUUCUAAUUAAACAUUAUAUGUCAGAUGUUUCUAAUGAGGCCCACGUUAGAUUUGUAUGUUGAUUUACAAAGGGAUUGAUAAGUUGAUUCUAUCCUUUUUCCUCUGCCAUUCUUCCUUUCAUAAAAUGUGUCCAUCGAGUAAUUAUCCACAAUAACAAACAUGACUAGACAAAAUAUCCACGACAAGUUGCAUAUCUUGUGCAACUGUUCACUGGUGAAAGGCUAUUGUGCCACUAUCCAUCAUUGCAAGGAAAAAACACAAAAGAUUUAUGUUCUAUCAAAUAUAUUAUUUUGUUUGGAUUUAGCCAGGUAAGAUCCUGGUUGCGUCGGCCAUUAGAGUACCUUGCGAUCGACUAGACAGUUUCAGCAUAUCUUCUUGCCUCCUUUUGCAUCACUAGAUUUCGAUGGGCUUGCGAACAGGAAGAUAAACACGGCAACAAAGGAGACGAGAGAUGCCAGUGAUCCAUAUUUCCAAAUAAUUCUCUGCAAGUGAAUUCCAAAGAAUGCAUUGAAUUUUGUGCUGGCGUAGAAUCCAGCAGCAAGGGAAACACCAUGCUGACGCUAGGAGCUACGUGCUGCUACCGCGAGCUCCCAUGGCAAGACCUGCCCAGGGAGGACCGGCAAGAGAAACGGCUGAAGACACACCAAGACCCGGCAACAUGUAGGUUCAUAUUUCACCCCCACCCUCAGAUAAAAAUGUGAAUCAUUUCAAACAUAUUAAAACUUGAGUGGAUUUUUUUAUUUCGGAAAAAUAUGCCCACAAGAGCUCAGGAGUCAACGUCAGUUCUAGGUAAUUAAACAAACAAGAAGAUUGACUUGUUGAGCAAUUUUACUACAUUUUCUUGCUUCCUUUUACGACACUAGAACUUGAUGGACUUCCGGUCAGCUAGAUAAACAUGCCAAUAAAGGACUUCUUGACAAGUCUGUGCAGAUUAAAGGUAUGUUAGUAGGUGGUGUAAUAACACAUGAUUUUAGCUAUCUAAGGAUACAAAUAUGCCACUAUUUAUUUUGUAAAUGCUGGAAAUCAUUGUCGGAAAUCUUAGUAACAACAGUUGUCAUGAACAACUUCGACUAAAUGCAUCAAAUGUUAGGAAUAAUACAUACUAACUUAGUUCAAUAAAUUAACCUAUUGAAGCAAGAAAAGAAACCUUGAAAUGUACUUAGAGUGAAUCAAUUAAGACAUGCAAAGCCAGUACUAAUCCAGUUUUAUUAAUAACUUCCACAAAAUUACAACACGUGACGUAAAAAGGGAAUAUGAUAGGUCAUGUAUUGAUAACGUGUACAACAUUACUACCCUUGACAUAAAAAGAGAAGUUGAUGAGUCAUGUCUCAAUAACGUGUACAACAUUACUAUCAGCUUGUUCAUCUUACCAUCAUACUAUACAACACUACGAGUUAGUUUAAAAAGGAAUAAGAGUUCAGAAUGAACAUGACAGUACUAGCCUAAUCUAUCUUAACAACAUGCACAAGGACACAAAGUUUGUCUGCCACAAGAUAUGAAGAUUUGGUUUAUGUCUAACAACUUGUAUAACAUGACAAACUUAGAUCCAAAGGGAACACAAUCCAUAUAAUUGUUUGACAUGUAAAGUGAAUAAGAUGAGUCAGUGCCAAUUAUCAAGUUUUCCUCACUCUUAGAUAAUAUGAGUAGCAAAAAGGCAACUUUGAUGAUCACUCCAAAAUUACGAUUGUAUGCCGUGCCACCAAACACAACACACCAAAAAAUUAGUUCGAUAAGCAUUGAAUCACUUUAAAAAAGGAAAGCAGUGAUGAAAAGAAACCUAGCCAUGGUGGCUAUAAAAAGGCCUGCAAUAUGUGAGCUCCAUACCAUCAUCCAUCCUUCACACAACUAGAGCACAAGCAUCAAAUCCAAGUAGGUAGUAGUUAACGCAAAUCCACCAUGAAGACCUUACUCAUCCUGACAAUCCUUGCGAUGGCAAUAACCAUCGCCACCGCCAAUAUGCAGGCCGACCCUAGCGGCCAAGUACAAUGGCCGCAACAACAACCAUUCCUGCAGCCUCACCAACCAUUCUCCCAGCAACCACAACAAAUAUUUCCCCAACCCCAACAAACAUUCCCCCAUCAACCACAACAACAAUUUCCCCAGCCUCAGCAACCACAACAACAAUUUCUCCAGCCCCGACAACCAUUCCCCCAACAACCACAACAACCAUAUCCCCAGCAACCACAACAACCGUUCCCCCAGACUCAACAACCCCAACAACCAUUUCCCCAGUCCAAGCAACCACAACAACCUUUUCCCCAGCCCCAACAACCGCAACAAUCAUUCCCCCAACAACAACCAUCGUUGAUUCAACAAUCUCUACAACAACAGUUGAACCCAUGCAAGAAUUUCCUCUUGCAGCAAUGCAAACCUGUGUCCUUGGUGUCAUCCCUCUGGUCAAUCAUCUUGCCACCAAGCGAUUGCCAGGUGAUGCGGCAACAAUGUUGUCAACAACUAGCACAAAUUCCUCAGCAACUCCAGUGUGCAGCCAUCCAUAGCGUCGUGCAUUCCAUCAUCAUGCAGCAAGAACAACAAGAACAACUACAGGGUGUGCAAAUCCUGGUGCCACUGUCUCAACAGCAACAGGUGGGUCAAGGUAUUCUCGUCCAGGGUCAAGGCAUCAUCCAACCUCAACAACCAGCUCAAUUGGAGGUGAUCAGGUCAUUGGUGUUGCAAACUCUUCCAACCAUGUGCAACGUGUAUGUCCCACCUUACUGCUCCACCAUCAGGGCACCAUUUGCUAGCAUAGUCGCCAGCAUUGGUGGCCAAUGAAAAAAAACAAGAGCUAUUCUAAAAGUUAGAUGGCCAUCGUUGCUUAGCUUAUGCACCAAUCGAUGUAACGAUGACAAAUAAAGUGGCGUGCACCAUCAUGUGUGAUCCUGACCAAGUGCUAGUUCAAGAUUGGAAAUAAAAGACAAACUCAGUCCUUGUUUGCCAGCAUUGCCUGUCAUUGUUCCAUUCCAUGUGUAUUUAGAUGUCUGUCCCUAAUCAUAAUUCUAGCCUUGCACAUCAUUAGCUAGUUGCUCGUGUGGUUGUUGACAUGUUAAUCUAGUUAAUAGGCUGAUUGAUCUAUUAGUUGUUGCUCGCAAGUUGAUCGAGCAGCUAUCAGUUGGCAAUUUCCUGAACAAUGCAUACAAUAAUAUUUCAACGUAUUUCAAUUUCUAGAAGUAAAGGGUCAUUUCAGCAGAAAAACAAGUGCG